CCGAGGGCAAUGGUCGCGCCUUACCAGUAGUGCAAAACCCUAGUAUGUAUGUUGUUACAGGGUGGUUAACUUCGCCAGCGGCCCCCUUUCCCGGGGCAGUCCCUGCUCUCCCCUGCUAGAGGGGCACCCUAAUCCGUCACCCCAUCCGACUUCAGAAUGUAUUCGUUGAGUUCGGCAACUCACCACCAGCAUCCAACCAAAUCUAGCGGAUCAACGGCGCAUCAACUUAGUUCCUGGUCAGCUCGCAAGUUGAUAUUAUCACGUCCUACACCGUCCAUAAGAUGGGGGGCCACCUCCCAUUUCAUCACUCCUCAAACACCCGAGGAGCCGGCAGGCGGAUUUGAACCCGGGUCGACUGGGUCAACUGGGAGCAGAAGUCAGGCCUUAACCUCUGCCAGCCGCCUGCCUAGUAUGUAUGUAUGCAUGCAUGCCGAUCAGUGCUAGUCCGCGCUUUUCCCAGAUCGUCCAUGGUUUAUCCUCAGCUCCUGUACCCCGCUGGCUCCUGCUCAGCGCUGUCCAAGGCACCCGGGAAGCGGGAGGUCUACGCCACGUGCUGCUGGGGCACAAAACGUUUAGGAUAUCCGCACAACACACAUGCCCAUUACCGCUCACGCGUCCUGAAUUAUUCGGUAACAAUGCCUUCCGCGAUGGUUCGCCCACUUGGUGUCCUAACGCCUUCCCCCCUCGCCCUGCUGCUGCUCAGGGAGUUGCAUUCGACAACCGCCGGGGGGUGAUACCCAACUUAGAGGGGCGUGUGCUGAAACAGGUGCGUGCGUGCGUGUCUACCUGUGUGUCUUGUCUGUAUCUAUUUGUCUGUCUGUCUUGUCUGUACCUAUUUGUCUGUCUGUCUUGUCUGUAUCUAUUUGUCUGUCUGUCUUGUCUGUAUCUAUUUGUCUGUCUGUCUUGUCUGUAUCUAUUUGUCUGUCUGUCUUGUCUGUAUCUAUUUGCCUGUCUGUCUGUCUUGUCUGUCUGUAUCUACUGCCUGUCUGUCUGUCUGUCUGUGCACGUGUGAAUGGUGCAGUGCAGUGCGUUUACACGCCAGGGAUGCUUGUUGCGGUUUCUGUCGGCGGGCUGACUUUCACAGCCUGCAGGCUGUCGUUGUCGUGGUCGUUGUCGUUGAAGCUGGUCGUAGGGUCACCGCAGGGGUUGGGAGGGUCGGCGGUGUGGGCUGUCGGCUGCUCUCCUUUCCGCCCGCUGUCCUCCGCGCCAUUCGACUACUGUACGGCCUAGGAGCUCAAAUCCGAUUCCAACUCAGGCCCCACAUGGCUUCUCCGCUACAGCUACUGGGGUGCUACAAAAGACAACACGCAUAAUACUAGACGGUGCCUUGUCCCGGCUAGACACGCCCAAUGGGCCGCCAUUAAGACAGAGCUGUGCCUUUCCCCCCAUGCGCUGCCUCUCAGGCUGACGCCAGCGCACCCGCCAGCGGCACUGCCGCCGCUGCCGCCAAGGACGAGGGGCUGUAUGUGGUGGGUUGGUUGAAGCGCGGUCCCACUGGCAUCAUCGGGACGAACCUCGUGGACGCGGAGGAGACGGUAGCCUGUGUGGCGGCGGAUACGGACGCGUUGUUGCGGGCCGGAGAGAAGACCCAUGGGUCGGCUGGGCCACCUGGUUUGGCGGGUUUGACGGCGCUGCUGCGGCAGCGUGGCGUGCGUGUGGUGGACUGGCGGCGAUGGCGGCUGUUGGACGAGCAUGAGGUGGCAGCGGGCCGCGCGGCUGGGCGGGUGCGGGAAAAGGAGACGGAAGUGAAGGAGAUGCUACGUGUGUGUGGAUUUUCCAUGGAGUAGCGCGAAUGGACGGUAGGGUCAGCAUGCUGCUGUGUGUACAGCAAGUGGUGAAGAGGAAGGUUACGUGGUGUUCUUUCUUUUGUCACUUAGCAGGUUUAUGUUGUUUUUCAUUUGACCUGAAUUCACCUUGUAAGGAUGAGGAUGUAGGGGUUCACGCCACCACGCUGGCCAGAUGGUGGUUCGAGCCGAUUUGUGUACGGUGAGACAAAUCGUAAAGAUCAAUGGGGCUUCGGGGUAUAGCACGGUUCCGGCUAUAGCGUCACGGCAGAGGUGCCGUCCUGGUAGUUGGGCAUCGUUAUGGGGGCCUUGUAACGUUAUACACCAUCCGCUAUGGCUAAUGGCGCGACGCGACGGUUUCAUGUUAGUGCUUAGUGGCCCCUAUCAGGACCUGGCCGCUUGCGGGGCGACCGAAGGUAUAAUAAAAUAUGGGACUGUGCUCAGGUAUUGAGGACGUAAGAACGCUGGGUGUGGUGUCAGCAGGAAAGGUGGUUACCCUUUCCACCGUCCAAGGACCUUCCUUGGCGGCGGUGUGAAUUGACUGGCCGGAUGCUUGUACAAAAGCAUCUCUUAUCUGUACGCGCGCAAAUCCUGAAUAUGAAUAUGAAUAUCGAGCGUGGGCGUCUUACCCUGGUCACGAUGUAGCUCUUCUUUCCCAUUAAGAUUAACGUACCAGUGCAUAGAGCUCAUGUCCAUACAUAUAAGACUCCUGAAAAUGCAAGCGUAAAUUGAGGACACAACUGCUUAUCAAAACUUAUCGGGAGAGGCCCAACGUCGGACAGCACAACUGAUUUCCUAAAGGACUGAUUUUCCCGGAGGAAAACGAAGCAGGAUAUACUAUCUAUAACACGUCCUCAAACGGACUAUCGUUCCUCCGUAAAUUUGUGGCUGCCGGUGCAUUGCAGUGCAUUUGCGAGAGGACCGGAGGAAGGUGGGAAACGCCCGAAAAUAGGAUAUACACAUGUAGCACGCGACCUUAGCAUGUCCAGAUGUAACCUAGUUGAAUGUAAGGCCUGUGAGGACACACGGACUUGAAUCUUCCGCCUGCCUCGUCCCUAGGGCUUCCCACCUGGGGACAUUGUGCCCUCCGGACCGCCAUGCCGGGGAAGUCACGAAAGAAACAUGCAUACGACACGCUGCAGCCUAUUCAUGCCCAGGAAACUUUCAAGAAUUCCAAACGUGCGCUGGUGCUAUACGCCCGAAACACUGUCAUAGACGCCAGGCCGCAAACCACCUCAGCGGCUUCCUCACACUGCCGCCUUGCAAGUGCACAAUGCCCACCACUAAUUAAGGCAACCGUGAUGCGCACAGAACGACUCAGCAACUACCCCACUCGCUCUCCAAGCCACAGUCAAUGCACCAUCGUUCAAGACGCGACUUCCUCCCCCUUUUUGCAACAUAAUCUUGGAGCACACAGUUACGCACACUCAUUGGAAGGGAUGCCUUCGCCAAGGCCACACCAGCUCUCCAUCCCAGCUCGCGCACAUGCUGAUAGGGAAUAAUCCGGACAUGGCCACAGAGCUAACCGACGUCGCCUUACGUCGCCAACAUACUCUCAAGCUGCACACACAUCCAUAUUUAUCAAUGCAUGGUGACAUGGUAACCGCGAAUCGGUAAAAAGGAUCUGCACGAAUAUAAGAACCCUCUUCCACGUCGUUCGUCAACUCCACGCCGCAACUCUCCACUCCGCUCACCCUCCCCUCACCAGUGUUUGAUUAUGCAACACAACACACCAACAAACUCUCAAGAGGCACUCUGGGACCCCAACACACAGAUUUAUUCUACAUACCACACAUCAAUGUGGACGGCACCUUUCCACAUCACCUUCGGACGGUGCACACAAAGGAACAUUUCUCGACCAAUGAAGCAAACAAUCCGAUUCAACAACCCUACAAACACAGAAAUGGAACACACGAAUACAGCAUAUGUUCAGAUGGCGCAUCACCUGCAGUCAACAGGAUUCCCCUUCGCCCCAUGGCUAAAGGCAUGAGGACACGCAUGUAAAACCCCAAUUACCUGCCCUCACCAAGACCGACAGCAACCCAAAUCAGCCUGGGACUCUAUGGAAAGGGACCCCGAGGGGCAAACGGUAACAGGAGGCAGAGGGCCGUCAAGGACGUGCGCGCAACAAACGCUGCCCGAGCACCCCGGGUCCGCCUACAGCCCCAAACACCCGGGGCAUCAACAUGGGAAAUGCGGGCGAAGUACGCGCCCCCCGAGGCAUCAAAACGUAAUACACGCCGUUGGUCGCUUGGAAAGCCACAUCAGACGCAGUUCUUAUGUCGCUAUCCGUCCUCCUUGAACCAUACAUGCAAGCCGCAUCGAUCAGACACCCUUACAGGUGGCGGACCACACCCCGCUACGCACCAAAACGGCCCAAAUAAUGACUAUACGCACCCGCACUCUUACCAAAAGCAUUCCAUAACACCCGCGCAUGCAUCUAAAUGAUAACCAUGAGCCGCCGCCACAGCAGUUUCACAAUUCAGCACACAUCCUUAAACCGAUAUGACACACCACCGCAACCGGCAUUUUCAAUAACGGGCAUGCAGCGCUGCACCAGCUUUGCAAUGUGUACAUGAAAAUUUACUGAAUUCGGCAUGACGACCCCAAAAAAGAAACUAAGCUCGUGCACAAUACGUCGCUCAAAAACCGUGCUGCAGUUCAUACUGGCCGCGAAGACGCGGUACAAGCGACCGCAGUACAGCUGGUCCAGGGCUAAUACCGCUGCAGCCGGUUGCCAUGUCGCCGCGGUCGCUGCGUCUCUUCCUUCUCCUCCUCGUCGGAAUCAUCGUCAGGCUCCCCUUCCUCAUUUCGUGCCGACUGUUCCUGACUGCGACUGGAGUCGUUCCGGUGUGGGUUGUUACCCGGCCGAUCACCGUCAGGCUGCAUGCCCCCGUUGCCACCACUCCCACCGCCAUUCCCUGCGCGCAACGAGCGAGAGCAGCAAGAACACAAUUAUGCAAACAAAAUGGUCUUUAUUCACACCUGGCCCUUUCACAUGUUUGCGUUUUGUCACUUCCAUGGCGCAACGUAUCGGUAUGCUUAUUACAGGUUUGCGCUCAAAAUACACGUUUUGCAUGCCUUUUCCUUGACCGCCAAUGCGUUGAGGUGACGAUUUGAGUUUGCACGUAUUUGCCUCAAAACAACCAAAGAAAUUAACCACGGCCUGUGGACAAAGUGUGGUGUAGAAACAUUUGGUCGGCUUGGUCCCCCCCUUACUCAUCCAAUACCAAUGCUGUCACUGCCCUGGACACAGUAAGGAGUUUUACUAAGCCUUAACGUAAACACACGUACACCAAAUAUGCAUCCGCUGCUCUUCAAUAUAAAGAUCAAAAUGAACAAGGUGGACACGAAACGACUCCCCUGUAAGUCAGGGAAUGGGCCACCCUCUCGCGGCGGGCAGGAAGGUAAGCGGACAGGAGAGAAGACAAUCAGACAGAGAACUGUGAACGGCCCAGAGUUUAUUGGCGGGCUGCUGCUGCUGUGUCCUUCUAUAAUCAGGCAAACGCGCCUGACAGUGUCUAGUAGCAAGACAGUGUCGAGCAGGAGGGCCAAGGCCCCAUGUUAUCCGCGAUGGCGUGCAUGGCAGGGUAUCCAGCGCCAUGCCACACGCUGCACCCCGUUUUUGGACGCUUAGCCUCAGGUUAAAUGCGUGUGGUUUUCAGCACUCAAGCGCACGCGGGAGGCAAAAAGGAUGCAGGUACCGAGCGAGGUUGUUGCCGCUACCAUAGCGGGCCUUGCAAGCUCACCUCCGCCACCUCCACCACCGCCGCCGCCACCACCACCGCCGCCGCCAGGAAAGUUGUCACCGCCAUACGACGUGAGGAAGAAGUAGAGCCCCAGAACGAAGAGGUUCGGUGCUACGUUACGAGCUGUCCGUUCCCAACCCCAGCCGUCGCCUCCGCCACCGCCGCCACCACCACCCUGCAUUGGUUCAAGAAGGGCUGCAUGUAUCGGUUCUCUUGCGUGCCGCAGAAAUAGGAUAACGUGAAAGCCUUAGCCGCAGCCCCCAAAGGCGCAAGCCCCUCAAUCGAAGCGAGCACCCACGUUACUGUCUAUGGGAGGCAGGUUCGGUGGGCCACUAAGACGUCUUUUUGUUGCUGUGUUGCCCGACUGCGCCUGACCCGCGACGAUGGUGAGGCGUCGACGUGGAGCUGGAAUCUGCACAGAUGCAGAGACGGGAAGGAAUUAAACUGAAAAGUGGAUGCCAGGUGCCAAACAUAAUGGAAAGUUAAAGCCUGCACAGUUUAAAACCGCGCCGAGCCAACGCCCAAAAAACUGGCCCAUAUGUUGUUCACCUGUGCCAAUGGCGCAGCACGACUUCUUCGUUGCACGAAAGCAUUGCAAGUUCGACACCUUAACGCCGCCAUAGCUGUCUCCGCUGGCAAACAGUCAAGCCUUCCCACUUUUUCAAAACAAACUAUCUUAAAAACAGGUGAAGGCUGUGAUUGCAAAUGAUCUAACGAAAUCGCAUAAGGAAAGCAGGUGCAAUAUUGUAUUCAUAACUGGCUGGUUUUUUUCUCCCCCUUCCAGAAUUUCCAAGCUGGUCGUGUACGGGAAUGACGUUAGUGGAGGCAAACGACACGGCGAGAUUUGGUGCUGAUUACUGCACCCAGAUGUGCUGCAUACAUUUAUGCUAUUUGUUUGCUCUCAGUAUCGAUGUAUGGUGCCGACCAUCAGCCUGAUUUACUUCACCCGCCGCCAUGCUCCCGACUCUUCCGUGGUACCAGUCGCGUAACGGUCUUGUGCGAAAGGACUUGCGGAAUUCCAUAAUCCCACGGGGCAAAUCCUCAACUAGGGUAGACUCGGGGCAAAUCCUUAACUAGGUGAUAAUGCGCAAGCACAUAGGAACUGCUUCUACUUGACUGCAAGUCAUGAGCGCCAGCAGCCGUAACUAAGGGGUAAGCAUCUCGUGCAUCAGAUAUUUUUUUCAGAUGCUUUCAGGUGCUAGCUUGUACAGAAUCAUGUGCAAGUAGUCAGUGAGGAUCUGGCUGGACAGCUGUCCCAGUGGGAUGCUGUUUGAUGGCCUAAAUUGGCUUGUCUGUAAAAAGUGAACAUAUAGGAAUUUUAGGGUUUUAGGGUAAGGUGUUUGAAUCUUGUUGCCUUGGUCAAUUCACAGGGGUACAUGGAGAAUGGGGGAACAUAUUCACUUUAGGGGCAAUUGUGCUGUAUGUGCUCAUGCAAGUCCUACCAUUAACACUUUCAGAGUGCUUCAAGGUGAUUUUGUCCGACAUUACUUUAGGCCCUUCGUGGCUGACGAUAAUGGUGAGGGUUCGAUGGCUCCCUUUCAGAAGGCAGCAAUUGCAGGCGGGGCAAACUUGCUUCAGUAUGCCUCCACUAUUGAGCAGCUGGGCUUCCCAAACUUGCUCCAUGUUCAUCACCCUGAACCUGCAUACAUCGGCCAGUAAGCAUUUGGACCCCCUUUGGACGCUAGUCUGGGCUGAUGUGCGGUGUUUUCCUUUCCUCCGUGGCUUUUAGGCGUUGUAGUAUUGCCCUUGGGCCUUCAGCUCGUAUGGGUAGUCUUACAGGUAUGGGGUCACGCACCCCCAACCAUGUAACACACACACACAGAUGCUGAUGUCAUGGUGGAGAGGCAGAUGCAUGUCGCCAAGUCAGCCACGGGCAGGGGUGUCAGCCGCUUCCCAGGCAAGCACGUCACAGUACGGGAGUGCAUCCAGUAUGCUUAGCAAAAUGUAAAAGAAGGGGCAGAUGCUGCUGGUGUCUAACUGAGGUCACUUCAGCAGUUCUUCAUGUUUUUCUGCCAGGCUGAUCUCCUGCGUCCCAAAUGCCAACCCCAGUCCGCGCUUGAUGAUCAUACACACUUGAUGGGCAGUUCUGUCCCACUACAGAAGAACCCCUUGUUAGCUCAGGAGGUCAAGGCUGGUGGCUUUUGAACACCUUUUUACUGAUGUGUGCAUGUGGGGUUCCUGGAUGAGGUACGGCAUGCAUUCAAGUGCAGUAUCUGUGCUGAACAAGCCAUUUUGAAGCAUUCAUGUCAAGUAAUAUAGACAAAGUUUCUUUCAUGGAUCCGUAUGGCACAGUUUGGGGAAGGAUCUAGAGUAGGCAGCAGAAGGCAGUCCGCCAGUGCGGAGAUGUCAUCGUAUGAAAUCUAUUUUGCCACACGUGUAGCAAUCUGUUGCGCCAUCAGUUAUUUUUUCAAUUCUCCCUGCCAUGACUACAUGCAACUAACACCGUACAACGGCCAACGUCCAUGACGUCCACUAUGCGUUUGCAUGGCACUUAUCACGGCUGGCAGAAAUUUACGCAGGUGCAGUUCCUGUUCCGAACUAUAGCUGAAGCCGACGAACUAUAACAUCAUGGCUCGGCUACUAAACACUGACACUGUCAUUUAAGGUACAGAUGGGAAUACAGAUGACAUGGCAACCUUCUGGCAUGUUUGUGCUAUUUAAAAGUUUUGUAGGAAAUUAGAUUCAUUCGCUGCUAGCCAGACCUGAAUGUCGGCGGCCACAUCUGGAGCUUGUACUCAAUGCCAUCGCGCUGGGCAGCUCCGCCCCAUAGGGAAGGCAUCGUUAUCCCAGGCAGCUAAUUUCCGGCGCCUUUGGGGCCCGGUGCCGCCGACUUUGGCGCCCGGCCCCUCGACUUCACGGACUUCAGGAGCAGUCCGUGGUUUGACAGUGGUCCAUGCCCGACGGAAAUGGUACGCCAUUUUUGAGCCUGCUGCUGCACGUGGAGUCUACAGGCUCUGGGAGCAUGUGAAGCACUUCGUCACGGGCCAGGCGAAUGCUGUCCAUAAGGGGUUCCCGAGCGAGGCCGCAGCGCUGGAAUGGAUAUCACAGCUAACACUACGUUACCAAGAGGAGGUAAGGUACUGCAAUAUGCUGUAUGUUUAUAUGCAUCCGUGCACAUGUGCGCCUAUCCCCGCAAUCUUGACUCCCAUCCCUGCAGUCCCUGCAGAAGUACAUGCGCAUUUCCGCAUGCUGCCACCUUUAUAAACUGGUUACUUUGCCUUGGCCUUGCCGCGGACUCGACUCAAUCCUUCAAUCCCUUAAUCUCUGCAGGAGCACGCUCUCGAGCAGCUGCGCCAAACGAUCCUUGGACCGGGCCACCGUGUUGGUCAGCCUGCGCCAAUGUCUCCCAUUCCCGGCCAUCACUUCAGCGUCUCCAGGUCGUCCCGCCCGAGCCUCGGCGCAUCCGCUGGCGGCGAUACCGCAGGUCCCGCAGCCGCCUCUGCUACGCUCGCAUCCGCAAACCCUCGCCCCUGGCAGACGCCGCCCAUUGUGUUGCCGGUACCCGCGGCCCCCUCCCGGGAGUACUACCGCAAGUGGUAUGCCGUUAGGUUUGUGGAUGGCGGCAGCCCCGCGGUCUACAACACUUGGCAGGUGGGCGCGAGGUGGGCGUGUGAGCUAGGCCCGAGUAGGAUGGAGAACACGCCACGACUGUGACAACGACAGAAUGAACAGCGGGCUUGUACAGCCCACGUCCGCAGGCGGUCAAGGCUUCUGCGGGCAGGGCUCGCACACCAAGGAUUGCACUUUUUGCUGACGCUUUGAUGCAUGCCCUGAUUUCUCAACUGCGUUCACACAUUGUAUAGCCAUGGUCAUCAUUUCAUGGUUGCUCCAUGACGGGGUUCCCUCACCAUGCGCCUCUGUCUUGAUGUGCCGUGCCGUGCACACUGCGCAUGGCAUGCGCCGCGUGUGUCAUUCCAUGACAUACUGGACAGUUUUCCUCAGGAAGGGCACGAGCAUGCGUGUGGUGUGCCUGCCAUGACGGGGCGGCCUGUUGCGUGGCGCCCGGACCGCUGUCACACCGCAUAUCGUAGCAGCGUGAUGUGUGACCCAGAUGCCCAGCAUGAUGAUGUGGCGUGUUUCCUGUCCUGGCAUGUGAGCUUCUGAGUGGCUUCUGUUGCGCCUUCUCACUCACGAUGGCAUCUGCUGAGUACCAAUGGGUUCGUUGUGGCUUCAGGAGACGGAGGCGGCUAUCAGUGGGCGUUACGCGGAGCACAGGUCAUUUGAGUGAGUUGGGUGAGGGGGGGGACAUGAUAGGAGGGUGAGGGGAUAUCGCAACGGUGGACGAUCGGAAAGUGGGUGGCCCAUGGGUCUCUGACCUACUUCUCCACGCGCUAUGUGUCGAGGGCGUAUAUCUGCAAGAAGCUGGGAAGGGACCCGCCCGAGAAGAAGCCUGGCAUUUGUUAUUCUGGUGUCGAAGUGUGGGGAUCAUUCCCGUGCCAUUCCUGUGCCGCCCUCCCCCCUCCGCACAAACGGGUUAUGGGUGGGGCCCCUAGCUAGGGGGGCACUGCUGCUAGUGAAAAAGUCGCCUAGACAGAUGUGUGGAGGCCUGGGGAAGGAGUGACCCAAGGGUCUGUCCGGGGCUGAUGGUCGCUGAUGAUCCCAUGCAAUCCGACGUCCCCACAGCUCCCGGUUGGAGGCUCUGCUGUACGCUUUCGGGCCCACGUACGUUGACCAGCUACUGCAGGACGAGCAGUUGCUGCAGCAGCUACAGCCGGACUGCCAGGCCCAGUCUGUGGCCGAUGCAGCAGCGUCGGGCUAUUGCGCAUCACCGUGCGGUGUCUCGAACGAGGCCAAUGAAACCGCCGUGACCUCCCAGCGCGGGCUGUUGACUAAUAAGCCGUAUCAACCGCACGAGUAUGGGGAAACGUACGGCGAGCAGUCUUCAUAUUCUCAUGUCGAACAUGGUCAUCACGGUCUUCAUGGGCAAUCAGCAGUCGGUGACAAUGAGGAUGUGGAGACCGUCGACGUGCACAGGGGCGCCCCAGAUAUCUGGAGCUUUGCAGAUAUGGCAGCGGCGGUCGUGUCACGGAUCCAAGGCGUCCCAGCCAGCUUGACAAACCUCCGUACGACUGCCUUGGCGUCGUACGAUGCUGCCGCGUCGCGGCCGAUGCCGGUGAGCCCAGGCGGCGGCUUGGCGGCUUGUUCGGAUCAACGGCCGCCGGAAGUCCCGUCGGCCGCCAGCCUUGGCUGGCGGCUGCCGGCACCUACAGCCGUGACUGCACCGUUGUCGUACGUUGUGCCGUACGGGAGCCCUGCGCCAGCGAUGGUGCUUACCGCUGCUGCCGUUGUACCGGCGCGCACGCCUUGCCGAGGUCACUCCGCCAGCAGUCCACUAGAUCACCGGCUUCAACACUCCAGCAAACAGCAGCGGCAGCAAAAGCACCUCGCUGCCCCUGGCGAAUUACAGCUGGAGGUGGAAGAAGCGCGGCCGCUACCUGCGCCCUACACUUGCGUCCCUGCCCGUUACUCUCUGUCGGCUGCCGCAUCCACGACCCCGCCAACCACCACCUGGCCCCCUCAAGACGGGCUAUUAGCAGCAGGAGCGAGCGGGAGGAGCGUGUACUCCUCCUGCGACCCAGAAGGUCCUUGUAGUGCCAACAGCACCCCGGGUGGCAGCCUUGGCAGCGGCCGCUCGGAGGGGACGUCGUCAUCCUGUCGCCUUGAACCGCGUGUGCAUUUUCCCUCAUCACCAUCAUCAUCAUCAUGCGGCGGAGCGCCCUCAAUGUCUUGGCCACCUGCCGCUGCUCUCGGUUACGACGACAGAGGUGCAAACGAUUCAGUCGAGGUUGAGCAGCCGGGACCCACGGAUGCAGUAGACGUGGAUUCGGGUUCAGAUUUGGAUUCAGGCGGCCAGCGAGUUCCAAAUCUGUUGUUGGAACCUGCUGCAGAUCACACUCGGCGGCCUCCUCUUGCUUUAGCAAAUAGCCCGGGAUCCGCCUUGACAGCGCAGGCCCUGUACGCGCAUGCACUGAGGCAUGUGCGGGCAGCGGGGACGGUAUCGGCGUCCCCGGUGUCGCUGUCGCCGCAGCUGCUGCCACAGCAGCAGCAGGCGGACGGCAGUACGGCGGCGCCGACCCGGCGGCGGCGAGGACGGCCGCGUAAGGUGGUGACGGCGACGAUGGCGGCGGCGGCAGCUGCAGCGAUUUCCCUUGUGGUAAGCACUCCUCCCUGUGCCGUACCAGAGACCAGUGGCGAGGGGCCGGCGAAGGUGGAGGCGGAGACGGGGUCGGUGCCACCGGUAAAGCGCGGGCGAGGGCGACCACCCAAGAAAGCAACGGCUGCUGGUGGUAGCGUUGAAGCACCGGCGCAAGCGCCAGUGGUGGCGCCCAAGCGGCCGCGGGGUCGGCCACGUAAGACGACAGCUGCUAGCGUGUAGACACGGGUGGGGAGUUGGCAAUCCAGGGUUCCCCCGCAUGGCGGCUGUGUCAUAAGGGGUGAUGUGAGGCUGAUGGGAGAUGGUGAAGGAAGGGACCGGCUUGCGGGAACAAACUUGAUCAGAAACGCGCCCGGCGAGGAAGACGUGCUUCCCGUCCAAGAGAGAGAGAGAGAGAGUGUGUGUGUGUGUGUGAGGGGGGGGAGCCAUGGUGCUUCCUGAGGUUGUAGCGAAUCUUCUCACCAGCUGUCGGGGUUUCGUUUGGUGGGGCGCUUCAGUCGUGCCUUCCGGUCACAGCCAUGAACGAGAGCAAGAGCAGGACACGUGAUAGCAUCUUAGAGGAGUUAAGAGGAGGAGAAUCUUUUCCCUGUGUCAGGAAAAUGUAUGGCAUAGGACAAGAAGUGAAUCGCCAGCGUAGCGCCUUAAAAACAAGGACGAUUCAUGCAGUCUCGCCGGAAGCUCGUUGGCCUUUCCAGGCAAACAACAAAACAAAGGAGAGGCUCAAGGUAGCUACAUGUUUGCGAUAUCGGCUCAUGCGAUCUUACUUACUGGAGUGGGUUUUGGCAGAGGGCUUUUCAAGCUAUGCGAGGAGGGGGAGAAAGAGGAGCGGCAGGGGAGGUUUUGACCAGAGCUGUGGCGUCGACCAGAGUUUUUUUGCCUCGCACACCUCGGUGACGACGGCUCGCGACAGAUAUGAUGCACAUGGGUACACGGGGAGGACAGGUGAAUAUGUUUGCGUACUGAAGGACGUCUGUUCCGCUGGGAAAACUUACUUGACGCGGACUAACUAUCCACAGCUAUCAGAAGGGGGUUACUGUCGGUUUGUGAGGUUAGGCUGUAUUUGCGUGACGCACACGUUUCCUGCAGUCUCUUGCGCGUAUUAUGAGGGCGGAAUGGAGCAAACAGGCAUGAUAUGCGAGCGCGGAAACGUAUGGCGGUUCCCGUAGCACAUUAAAAGUGCAGAGCAGCUUAGGGCACCACAGGGUUUUGGAUCCGUGAUGGAGGCAGCACUAUUGCACGUCGGUGCAUAAAUGUAUUCAACCUUCUGGGUGGUCAAACAACUUUGCCGUUUCCUUUCUUGCCUUGGACAGGCAGCCAAGCAUUGGCGGUGGUUAUGUGCCUUAUUUUCUAUAUCCUUUCUUUCUUUUAGGCGCCCUCUUAGCUCUUAGCAUCACAGCGAUUUUGAUUUUCUCACUCUCUUUUACUGGCGACAGGACGGACGUAUGCCUUGAUUGCUUUGAUCCCCAUACUGCCGCUCGGGCAAGCGUCAUGCAGGAUGUGCAAUAGCCUGGCAGUUGGUUUUAAAUACAUAGAUCUUGUUCCCUUGUAAAAGAUGCCAGCCAAGUAUUUGGUGGCAAGCCAAGCCUUAUCACCUUCAUAUUAGUCGACCAAGGGGUACAUGAUGAUGUUGAGGAGGGGGGUGGCCAUGACAAAGGUGGGCCGUAGAGGACGAGGUGGGCCAACAGCGCGCAGACGCAACUUUCCAUAUACCGUGCAAAUCACUAUGUAAGAUUGAAAUGAAUCCCCUUAUUUCCCUUAUUAUUCAUUGCCGCCCCCUGCCACAAAUUGCCAGUCACUUUCGCGAGCAUUGACGCUUCGAUACAUGGAGAGGAACGCUUUGCACUGCAUCUUCUUUCAGUUUGUGUCAUCAUGCCCCACACCGUACCCGGCGCGCCGUCCAAUCUUUGGCUUAUUCUCUCGCUAGAUCCUAUGGCGCCACGUAAGAAGUGAAGGUGAGGAGCGGUUACGUCGCCUCACAGGCAGCCAAGGAGCACACACGCGUCAUCCAACUAGCCUUUCUUUUAUCCCCCUCUCCCCAACCCCCCUUAAGCACAACCAGGUCUCCAGGGUAACACUCCCCCGGCUAUACUGUCCUGCAUGACCCCCCUCUUCCGUCCCCCCUCUCUUACCCUCCAGACCAUCACCGCUGUCGCCACUCACUCCUGCUGCUGCUGCUGCUGCUGCUGCUACCACUUGAGCACGCUAGCUAAUGCAUGCAGCUACUAUGAAUGCACUGAGGAGUUGUCCUUUCGCGUCCCAGGUUAUCCCAACUUGAGACAAGGUAGGCCGAUAGGAAGGCGCAAAUUAGGUGAUUAGAUUAAUAACGCGUGUAAAAGCGACGUGUAUAGGAGCGACAGGAUGACGUCUCAGGAUGAGGAGGCGGACACGGACACCGUCCCUGCGGCCCUCCCCUCCUCCCCAGGGGCUUCUAGGUGCCCGAUGAUUGCAGCCGAGGUAAAUCCAGCUGCCCGCACCUUGGCGAGCACUUCCCCCUCGGCACCCGACUCCACCGCCAACAACAGACCGCCGCUGGUCUGGGGGUCAACCAGCAGGUCUCGGAGCCAGGGCUGUGGGGUGGAACACACAUAGAAUAAAUUGCAGACACACACACACACACACACACACACGCACACGCAAUGAUGGGGGUUUCCAGCUUACGGUAAGAGGAGAACCGGUUGCGGAGGAGGAAAGGAGGUCAAACAAAAAAAUUAAAACCUCUGGCUCUCUCUCUCUCUGAAAAUGAGAGCCGCGGGACCGGCGGUAGAGAAACGCAGUCAGCCUGUCACUGCGAAUAGAGGCGAGAUUAGGAAACCAUCUUUGAGAAGGCAAUCGGUGGACGCGUUGUUAGUGCCAGACAUGCUAGCCGAAAAAACAGAAAGCAUUAGCGGUCCAGGUUGACCGGGCCGCGAAGCCGGGGGCAAGAAAAGUUGAAUGAGGGUUAGCUGGGUUUCCUUUUCCCCAGCCAGCCAGCAGCCUGCUAUCCAAUCCACCCACCUCCACGCCGGGCCCCAAGCUGACGGACGCUCCGUAGCUGUCCCAGUUCCUUGCCACCGCCCCGGGCAGCACUCCACGUUCCGCCAGACCCCUGGCGGGGCCCAUCAGGGGCACCGCCCCCGCCGCCACUCGGCCAUGCAGCCCGCUGCCUCGGCACACCUCCAGCAGGUGACCCAGCAGACCAAAGCCUGAAAGGAGUGAAGGAAAGAGGGGCGCGAGAGGAGUGGAAAUGGCCUGGGGGGAGGGGGGAUGCUGUGUUUGCCAAUACAUGCGGGAAGGCACGCGCAAAUGGCACCAAGUAUCAAAAUCCGAACAGCCGAGCGAUCAGCGAGGUCUCACUAAGGAUUUGAAAAGAAAUCCCGUAUGUCUGUAUGUGUGAAAACGUGUGUAUGUGCGAGUGUGAUAUGGUGUUGGAAAACAGCAAAGUAAUACACGGAGGUAAUCCCCCAGGGAAAGGGGGGGAAAGACGAACCACGAACGAGUGAAGCUGCCGCCAGGGCAAGAGUGUACCGUAGAACUGACCAAGAGGCGUAAAGGGGGGGGGUACGGGCGGGGUGGAGUCUCCAACGGCGCCGCCGUGUUGUGCUACUGUGCUUGCGGAAAAACGGUGAUGGGUGAGUAGAGAUCAUCAGCGGGAGCCGGGAGGCGUCCUUGUGGGGAAUUGUGUUCACAGCCAGGAUACAGCAAUGAUGUGCAUGUAUGUAUGUACGUCCGUGCAGACGAGUGCGCGUGCGCAUGCGUGUGGAGGGGUGCGCGCGUGUAACUGCUGGGUACGCGGGUGCCUGUAGGUGGAUGAGCACCCCGUACUCUCCGCACGUCCGUACCUGUGACGUCCGUCAUGGCAUGGACCCGUGGGUCAUCAGACAGCUCCGCACCCACGGUGUUGAGCUGAGUCAUUGUCCCAAUCACCUGGAGAAGAGGGAAUGUGCGCGCGCGCGUGUGUGUGUGUGUGUGUGUGUGUGCAUAUGUGUAUGUGAGAGCGGGGUUGUAAUGCACGGAGCAGCAAAAGGUCAACUGUCGAUACGUCCAAAGUGCGAGGGAAGGGGACGUCGCCGCAAUACACACAACAAUGUAUGCACAGCAAUUAACAGCAUAGGAAGGUAUGGUGGCGGGAGGAGGGGUAGCGUCCGGGGUGGAGUCCGGGCAGGCAGGCAGGCGGGCAGUAGCAACUCGGGGAAUACGUGGAAGAGGAGGGGAACGUAGGCGCCGGGGAUGUGUCUCAACUUCCCUAUCGACUUUCCUGGCUGGGACGAGCAAAAUUUUGGAAACACUGCCGCGCGGGUUUCUCAACGAUGGGAGGCGGGAUGUGGAAUGCUGCCGGUCUACCCCCCCCCCUCGUUACAUGCCUUCCCUCCCCUCCCCCAACACACAUUCCUGUUACCUACAUCUUACAUUCAUAAAACUCGAGCUACGCAAGAAGCACUGCACUUCAUUGUCCUGAAACAAGAAAUCAUCUGAGCUCCUCAACUGCUGCUGCACCUGCACCUACUUGGCGAUAACCGUGCUCGUCCAGCAGCCCCUUCUUGAUGGCCGUGGUCAUGGCGCCCACCCCCAGAGGCUUCGUGAGCAGCAGCACGUCCCCCGGUCGGCCGGUGCUGUUGGCUCGGAUGUGGUCGGGGUGCGCCAAUCCCGCCACCACCAGCCCAAAGAUGGGCUCAGGGGAGUCUAUGGAAUGUCCACCUGUGGGGUCGAGAUGGGUGGAUGGGUUCGAAGGAGUUGAGCCCAGGCAUGGGGACCAAAAGGGGGUACAAGGAAGCACAGACAAUUGAUCCCCCAGGGGGAGGUGUAAAGAGUGAGAUGGAGGGGGCUACAUCGCGAGGCCGGUGGGCUCUUUGAGGACGCACCGGCUUUCCCGCAGUCCACAUGUUUCCCCCUCGCUAUACCUUCCCAAAGGUAUAGCGACCCCCUUUUCCCUGGCCCCCCCGGCUAUUCUCUCUCUCCUCCCCAUGCCAGAGCCAUUCACUCCUCCUUCCCCACGGCGCCGUCCACCCCGAGGAGACAUCGCUACACCCGCCACAGCCCUCCCUCUCCACAUUCCCCCACCGACACCAAGCCACCUACCGGCCAGGGGGAUACCUGCCUUCCUGCACACGUCUGCGCCCCCCUGGAUGAUCCUCCGAAUAACCCCCGCGGGCAGCUUGUUGACCGGCAUACCCAACACACUCAGGGCCAGCAGCGGCCGCCCGCCCAUGGCGUACACGUCACUGCGGGGCGGAGUGUGGUGCAUUGGUGGGUGGGUAGGGGCAGGGUGAGAGAGGACAGAGGUAUGACAAACACAUGAGCUACCGGGAUCACCGGACCGGGAUGGGGGAAUUGGGGCGGGAAAACACAGAGGGUGACACACACAUAACACCCGGAGGGUGGGGCAACAGUGCAUGAAAGCCAAAGAGGCAGAUGUCAAAGUUCAGAUAGCACCCGUUGCCUGCUGCUCCUCAGAGUGGAGGAGCUUCGAAGGUACCAGUCCUGACAUGGCGCUGAUGCGGCUGAUGCGGUGAACGCCUCCAUAGCCCUCGCGGCCACCUCUAGCCGACAUAUGCAGGUCGCGGCAUUGCUUCAGGGACCCCCCCGUUCCUUCCCUUCCCUUCCCCCCCUUUCCCCACCCGCGCUCCCCGCCUGCCUGAUGGCAUUAGCCGCUGCCACCCUGCCAAAGUCCCCCGGGUCGUCCACAAUGGGCAUGAAGAAGUCGGUAGUGAGGAUGAGCGCCUGGGUGGGGCUCAGGCGGUACACGGCGGCGUCAUCGCUGGUGGAGGCGCCCACCAGCAGCUCCGGACUGCCUGGAGAGAUAUGGGGGUGGGGUGCGGCGAGGUGCGGGGCGUUGGCGAGUGUGGGUGGGUGGGUGCGGUCGGGUAGGGUGGGUGGGGUGGCGCGCGGGAGUAUGGGGGAUGUAAGAAGAUGGAAGAGAUGCAGAUGGUAGCGUAGGAGCUGAAGGAUUCCCAGCACCAUGUCCUGGUGAGCAGUAUGCUAGUGGUGGUUGAGGGAAGUCAAGAAAGGAAGGGAGCUCCGCCACCAGCCCCAUCGCUGCAUCAACUAUCCCCGGGGAUGGAUCCGUACUGCUUACCAAAGUCGAGUUGCACGUUGAGGAGAAUCUCUUGGAGCUUAGCUGGGGCUAUUUUGCAGCCACAGCCGCCGCCAUGUGACAGCUGCGUCAAGCGGACUUGUGCUCCAGGCUCCGCAGCAGCGCCAUCCGCUGCCGGUGCGCUGCUGGUGGUUGCGUAACCCCUGGCUGAAGCCGAUACCUCGCGGAACUUUCUAUGCCACUGGUGCACUUGCAUCCACUGCGCAAAGGGUCGUCGGGUUUAUGAUGGCUGCGUAACAUGAUUUCCGGUGCUGGAUACUUGGCUAACGAGCUACCUGUGAUGGAAACAACGACGGAUAUGCCCAAUUGUGUUGCUGAGCCCUUAUGUUUGUGCAGAGACGCAGGAGUGACUUCAUGUUGCCUUUCUACGUAAGGAUGCCAACGGCUUCCGGUGUAUUAUGGGAAAUGGAAGUUAUGCGGUAGAACUGGCUGCUCUCAGCUAGAGAUGUAGAAAUCUGUUGUUAUCGCGUUCUGAGUGCUUGCCUCGGUCUUUGUCCGACAAUUACAUUUUUGCUUGGUAUCAGAACGCUGUACAAUUAUUUGAAACCGAAACGCAACCUAUGCCAACCGAUCACGGUAUACUGUUAUUUGACAAUUAGCAUUAUACAUAUCGCUUAAGGGGAUCACGCAUCGCCAACGCCUACUCCGCGAUAAGAGUGAUCACUUCUCCUAUCCCACACCCCUUUCCUGCCGAAAGAUGGGCAGCGAUGACACGCUUGGUAAAGUAAAGGAUCCGCUUGUGGCAGCUGUGCAAUGGCUGAAGACGAGACCAGCCAAGACUAAGGUUGCUCUCGGUGGCCUUGGAGCGGUGUUGCUACUGCUUAUCCUUUGGCGGACUAUCAAGGACCAUGAUACGUUAUUUGUGCUUGCUGAAAUGGCGCAUUUCAUCGGGAUUGGCGUCCUUGGAUACAAGCUCCAAAAGAAGAAGUCGGUCGCGGGUAAGCCUGCUCCACUUCGUCCUAGGAGCGAGAGAUUCCGCACUGCAUGUUGGUUGCCAUGAACAGUACCGCGGGGCAGAGACCUAUGGCUGAGUUUAAAUUCAUCUGGGCGCAGGUCUGUCGCUACAGACGCAGCUGCUAACCGCCACGUUUUUGGCUGUGCGGCUCUUCUGCAGGUAGAACGGUGCUCUUAAGUCGCUUAUUGGUUGGGGUGUUUCGGAUUGCACGGCAUGGGCCUGCGAUCUGUGAGGGGGAGUAUUGGAGGAGGGGUGUUGCGGUUUGACCCGUUGGUCUGGUUCGUUGACUGCGGUUGACGGUGGUUAGGCGGAAUGGUGCGAUGCUCCGCUGAUGUCCAAACGCUGAUUUCCUAACAAGCCCAGUGUCCAGGGGGGAGAGCGAGUGCUUUGGGUCUGGAAGUCGCACCAGUCCCCACACGGCAGAGGUGCUAUCCCUUCCUCCUCUAAGCAGCCACAGCGCUUCUGCGUCUUUGGGGUCGCGCGCAUUUGGACAGUAUCGACCUAAACCAUGGUCUCCAGGCGGCCGCCCCCACCGCCAAUCCGCCAUGUACCGGCCAGAGCCAUGGCCUGGGGCACCUGGUGAUAUGGCUGCACGCCUGCACCUUUGGACAGUCCUGAGUUCUGAUCCCAACCUGACACCGCAUGACUUUAGAGGCUUUAUCAGUUCUUCCCACGACUUAAUGGCCGGUCUUAAACACCCGUCGACGUGAAGUUGUGGUGCCAGAUCGCAUACGUCCAACACGAUAAGAUCUUAAGCGGCAUGCCAGAGGCUUCUCGCACAUCAUCCAUCCCUCUUUUGCCACCCACCCCACUUACCCCUUUCACACUUCCACCCCGUCCCAAUCCAUCCCCCUUCUUUUGACUCUCUGCAGCUUUAUGAUGGAAUACGACAUUCACACGGUCUUGGACGGGCUGACUCUGCUGGCCACCCUGGGUGUGGUGUUUUGCAUGUUGUUCACGGAGAUGAAAGCCAGCUACCAGAAGGAACAGGACGUCAUCAAAUUCUAUUACGUAGUGAGUUAUGGAGGCCGGGUGGCAUUUGGAAAAGGGAAGGCAUUGAGGUGAGGGGGUAUAGGACGAGAAAACUGCCGGCACAAGCAAAAGGAAUAUUUAAAAAACGGGCCCAGACGAUUUGCUAGCAUACCAAGACCUGCAACUGAUCGAUGUUGGCAUGCAAAAGAGCUGCUGAGGGCGGAAGGGCAGCGAUAGCGCUCUGCUGGCGACCAGGUUUUAAUGUCGUGUGAAGUGCUGCACGAGGAAGCCAGGGCUGUGAAGUGGGAGUGGGGAGCAGCGAAGGAGGGGUUUUGGUAGAGGUGAUAUCGUGAUGACGCUGUGAGUGUGCGUGAGGGGUGAUGACCGUAGCCCCGGUUGCCCUUAGGAUUGAAGGGUUGGAAGGCUGGAGGUUCGUAGUCGGAGAGGAAUGAGAGCGGGUACCUCGUAGUGCCCUUUUCCAAAGGUGGUCGAAUGUCCCGUCGUGGUUGACAUCUAUCUCUCUCGGUGUCUCUCUCUCUCCCUCUUCGCGCUGCCUCCGCCCCUUGCAUUGUGAUGGUCAUAUAUUUUCCCUUCGUUUUCGCCGACCAGUUCCCCCCCCCUUGACCCUCCUGACCCGUUGCCUUCUUUAACCCGCAUCCCUAUGUGGAGUUCCUCAGUCUUCUUUUGUGCCAUCUCAGUCCGCUUGUUUCUUCCUCGAACCGUUCUCAAUGACCAUUCCGUUUGUGGAACCUAAUCCGACCCCCAUUGCAGCUGGGUCCCUGUGCGCUGCUGGCGUUCAUCGCGAAGCCCUCCACCUCUCACUACUACCUGUUCCGGGUGAGCCAGGGAGGUGAAGGGAGGUGAAGGGAAAAUGUAGUCCCAGCUGGAAAGUGGAUAGAUGGCCGCAUGGGCGUGCGGUUGGGGCUUCGGAGCAAGCGUUGGUUGGGGAGUCGUUCAUUGGAGUCGUUCAUUGGCAAUUAAGGACUCUGUAUGGCAAGGGGUUUUUGAGGGGGGCAAGGGGAGGAGGCGGAAGAGGGGAUGUGGGAACAGGAGGGUGUGAGGAGGGCUGGCGAACGGAGGAAUGGCAUGUGUGUAUGUGUUCCUGUUGCUCACAUCCCUGCCUAUUGAGUGCAUCUUAAGGAUGCAAAUUCAACCAUUGAAACCGCUGCCACAGGUGUUUUGGGCCUUCUGUGUCUACCUGGAGGCGGUGUCCGUAUUCCCGCAGCUGCGAAUGAUGCAGAAAGCCAAGGUAAGUGCGAGGCGGGUCCUUUCCGGGAGGUUUAGGGGGAAAAGACCUUGUGGCCAAACAUCAAAAGCAGCUGCUAAAAGGCGAGCGUAUGGCGUUUGCGCAGUGCGAAGGCAUGCAAACAACGGGUGGGAGAGGGGGGGACCGGCGAGGGGGUGGUUUUAUGGCACAUGAUACGACGGAAAUAGGUCGUGCCGCGUUCCGAAUUUUCCGUUCCCCGCAUCUUUGCUCUUUGUGGCCUGCUGCCCCCCAAUACGAAGAAGCCUGACGGUCUGGUUUAUUGGCUAUUGCCCGGCUGUAUUGGAUGUGAUACUGGAGACGCCGCGCCGCUCUUUUAACAUAAAAGCCAAAAAUUUACUGCUGUUUGGCUGUUACUGUUGCUGCUGCUGCUGCUUCGACGUCCUGCUUUGUGUUAAGGUGGUGGAGCGCUUCACUGCGCACUACGUGUUCGCUCUGGGGCUGUCUCGCUUCCUCAGCUGCGCGCACUGGAUCUUACAGGUGUGACGGGCACCCCCAAACCCCCCACGGUUCGAAAGGCCUGUCAAGAGAGGCCGGAACGGGUUUGGGGUUGUACUGCUGAGCCCGGAGAGCCGCAGCGAGGGGGGGGUUCCGCAACGCCUCUACUCGCAGCCAUCUGUACGGCACCACAGUCCCAUUCAGCAAUGACACGGCGUGUGUUUCGCAAUGCGUAUUCAUGACGCGUCCCGGGGGGGAAGGGGGAAAGGGGAACGCAGGGAAGGCCAAGAAAGCGGCGGCAGUGGGGAAGGAGGAGGAGGAGAGGAAAGGAGCCAAGCAGGGGCCAGAUUAGGGAGGCGGAGAGGGCAGGAGGUCGGCGAUGGAGUGAGAAUUGGGUUGACAGGGGUGAAAACGCUGGUGACGCUUUUCCGCCUCAUUCGUACUUCCCAUCCUUUUAUGUACGUGGCCAGUCCCCAACGCGGCCCCCAUCUAACCAUUCACUAUCCGUUGUCCUUUCGCCAUUUGUUCCCGUACACGUAUUGUCGUAUUGGCGGCCUCAGAUCCUGGAGGGUAACAAGUACCUGCUACAGGCGCUGGGCAGCGGGCUGUGGCCCAUCAUGGUUCUGGCUUCUGAGGUGGUGCAAACCUUCAUCCUUGCAGAUUUCUGGUAGGGAGGGCUACGUCUUGGCUGACACAGGCAGGGCUGGGGGCAAACAUCGCUUUGAUUGGUGGGGAAGCAAAAGACAGGUGACCAAUGGCUUUAUGGGAACGGAAGGAUUAAGACCUUGUAAUUAGAUGGCUUGGGACGGAAGGGAAGGCAGGGGCUGGGAGCUGCAUUGGGGGACAUGCUGACAACUGCUUGCGGGGAACAGCUGGAGGUCUUCCUCUCCCUCGCAGCCCGCUUGCUGCCGUGACCUGUCUCCGUUGGCCAUGCAUUUCACUUUCGGAUGCCCAUCUUGCACGCCGCUCCGCCAUCGCUGCUCCCUCCCUCCUUUCUGCAACAGCUACUAUUAUGUCAAAUCUUACGCGGAGGGCUCCGGGAUAGUACGUCUGCCCGCCGGCAUCGUCUGAGCCAACCUCGCCGACGGCAAACCUUGAUGUUAGAGAGCACAUGUGCUGUGCUGUGCUUCGCAAUGCGGUGCAUGCAGUAGGGCCACGCGAUGUGCGAGAAGGCAGGUGCGGCACGCGUUAUAUGUUUUCUAGGGCUCACGUGUGUGGUGCGUUCCCUACCGCUGCAGAUGGGGUGUGGGUUUGGAGUUGAUGGUAGAGGUUGUUUGCCUGGUUUCUGGUGGUUUUGGCGUGGCCAGCUGCCAGGCUGUUUGCUUGCAGUGUGGUGUGGCGGCGCAUUGGGAGGGUGAAGGUUAUGGAGGCCGUGUUGUUGAGGCAGUGAUCCUGCAGGCCCUGUGUGCGUGGCGUUGUGGUCGGUUGCCGGGAGGGUUCGUUGCCACAGGUCACGAGUUGCGGCUGAACAAAAUAGGCAGAGCGGGUCACUGGCUGUCGAGUGAAUGUAGUAUAAAGCUCGCGAGUGUGUUUGACGAUGUCGCCCUGUGGUAUAGAUCAGGUUGGAUUACAGAUAGGUGCGUGUCUGAAUGGGGCCGACCUACAAGCCAAUGUAGGAAAAUGAAGCAAGCUAACUGUGUAGCACCUUAUGCAGCAGCCACCGGUGCGCAGUCUCAUAAGUUGGUAGGCAGAGAUAAGACGCCUCAGCCACUGGAAUAUAGCUUGUGUCCUCCACAUACAACAGAAGCGGCGGAUGGGAGCCCCUCCGAUGAUGCAGGCGUGACAUAUAGACGUGGGCACCGUGCAAUCAGAGAUUAUAUAUCUUCAUUAAAUCCCAUUUUCCUGUCACGCACGCAAGGUAGCUGAAAACCUAGCAUAAUUGCGCACGUACUCAUAAUUGCCCUGUCCUCCAUGCGCUGCAUGAACAUCCUUUAGAAGAGCAUGAUGCAAAAUGCUUUUGCCAAACCACCAUUCUGCCGAACCACUUUUGUAUUACCAAAUCUCCGUCUCAUGGGUCUACAAGUCCAUAACCUUAUUAGUUCCACCAUUGCAUGCACGGGCCUAAGUAUUGGACAACGCGCCGCAUCGCUAACGACCGUAGCAGCAUAAGCACACAGCAUAACCCACCGUCUUUGCAGCUCAGACCAUCUUCGCGGUACGUUGAUUAUGUUUCCGGAACUCUGGACGAGUACACACCAUGCCAGCCGCCGCUCAUGCACGUUCACAGCAAAGAAAAGGCAACACAGCAACCCCCAAAUGCACGCGGAAUCGCGCGGUCGUAGAGACUUUCUCACACGAGGCACGCACACAGAAAUCCUGAGAUCGGCCUCCUGAGUUGGCAGAGAUAGGGACGAUAUGUAAGACAGCACUUGAAGAGCAUCAAGAUGCCGCAUUCGGCACGGAACACCAAUUUAAGAUACGGACAAUUCCAUCGCUUAUGCCAUUUAACCUCCAUGCAAAAGGACCGAAGCGAGAAGCGGAUUAAUGGAUUGCUUUCCCGGCGCGCCUAUCAAAGUACGUACUUUCCCAAGGUUUAUUUGGUCCAUUAACAAUCGUACCGCCACAAUUCUACCGAUCUAUCCUACCGACCAAUCCUGCCGACACAAGAACAUGCUGCACACGGUCCUUGCAGUCCAAGCGCAAGCUACCAUUUCAGGAACCUAAACCACGCUAAUACAAUGUCCAUGGCCCCCGGCCUUUUAUGGACACUCCCGCACAUGUAACUUGUAACUAGCUAACAACUACAUUACCACCUGCACCGUGAACGCAGAGCGUCUCUCCCCACGUCCGGCGUAUCAUAUAAGCUAUAUAGCUACAGGGCGUGGCUUCCGGCUGCUGUGGGCCUUAAAAAGUCGGCGCUGCAUCCCCACCCUACACAUCCGAACCCUCAGCCCACCCAACCCUAAGCAGCAGCUGCAGCUGUCGUCCCGCUUCACUGUUGCUGCUGCUGUCCGCCGUCGCCGCCGUUGCUGCUGCUACUCUCCUCGACAUAGACUUACUUCGCGGGUGAAGCCCCUCCGCACCCAUCAAGGUGCCAGACAGCUGACAGCUCCCCAGGGCAACAAGAUGGCCACACACACAACACCAAGAAAGCCAAGAAAUGCACUAUAAGAACCGCCCCCAACGUGAAAGAGCACAGCAGAUAAAAAGUAGAAGAAACCUACAUGCACCGCCGCAGAGACUAAAUACCAUUUUACCAUAGCUACCGGCCUGCAUACUUGCAUGGUUCAUUUGCGCUUCUACAAGCUGCCGCCGCACAAAGCAGCAGAGCACGGAGCAGCAAAAAAGAGAAACCCUCAUAAAUUGUGAAGACUGCCCGACUAUGGGCCGCCUUGCCUUAGCCCUCUCCCUCCUACCUUCCAUCUCUCCCUGCUCUGUUACUCAUGGACCUGCUUCUUCAGGGCUUCGCCAUUCACCUCCUGGUCUACAACCCGAUUCUGAAAACACUCAGGACAGUAACUGUGCCUCACCCUCGUCCUCCUCCUCACAUCACUGGCGCACUGCUGCGCCGCCACUCCGCCACUGCCACAGGACAGAGCAACGGCAACUACUCUCUACUUCGUCCCGUCCCCUAUUGCGGUCGGCUUGUUCUUCAGCUCCGCCGCAUAUGCCAUCAUACCCGCUAGAGCCGCCUGCGUGUUGGCGUCACACGUGGCCAUGAGCUGCUGGUGCCUGGCGGGCAUGUGCUGCUGCAGACCGGAGAGGGCGUCCGCGUAGAACACGAAAGGGUCCACGGGAUCUAUGGGGGUGCGAACCUGCGAAAGACCCAGGGAUGGGUCGCGUGGGAGUGUGGAGUGUGCGUGAGAGAGGGAGAGGCAAGAAAGCGGAAAGAACAAAGGAUAAGUGGGCGGCAACUGCACGGAAUGAACAACCACACGUGCGAUUUAUAUCAACGGCUAUGCGCAGAUGUUGAUCGACGCUGGAAUGGAAGGAAUGACAGUCGUGCCAUGAAGCAUGCUAGAGUAAAACAGGGAAUAAUGCAGCGGGAAAUUCGGAAGAGUUUGGCGAUGAUGCCUUGUGUGCGAGAGGCUGUGAGGCUUUGAGGAUGGGGCGAGAUUUCGACAGGAGGCCGUGUUGAAAUUCGGUUGUGGCCUGACUCCCGAUACUCCCGAAGCAAGUGCUCAGCAACCGCUUUCUAGCAACUGCGGUUCCUUAUUACCCAGUAAGCACAACGCCGUCUACGAAAGGACUUCCUCCUCCCCUCACACAGAGUUAUCCCCACCACCGACCAUGACCGCCGCAAAACCCCCACCUCUUCAUCGUCCGUGAACUCGUCAUCCGAGCCCUCACUGCCAUCGUCAAGGAUAUCCCGGGCCCCUCGUCGAAGAGCCUUGUUCAGCUCCUCGUCGUCCUGGCAAUAAGCAAGAGCAAAAGACGAGGGAGUGGAAAAGAGUGUCACGGCAAGGCAGCGUGGAGAUUAGCUGCACACGAAGAGCGGAAUAUGGACACCCAUCUUCCGGGAGCUGAGAGUCCGGGAACGGUUGUGAAUGGUAUCAAUGAAGCUUAGUGGUUUUUAAUUGAUGGAAAACAUCAAACAAUGGGCCGGGACUGCGCAACUCGUGUAUGUGUACACGUUUGGCCAACAGCGCUAGGGCAUACAGUCCAUAGGUGCUCAAACGCACACGGACACCAACGAGACGCACCUCCUCGUCCUCCUCCCCAACGUCCUCGCCUCCAUCCUCGUCCUCGUCAUCCUCCUCAUCCUCCUCGUCGUCCGAUCCCGCCUUGGCCGCCUCCUCCAUUUCCGCCUGCUGCUCCUUCAGAGCCAGCAGCAGCCGCAUAAUGCCCGCCUGGACCUACAUACCACACAAACCAAAGUAAUGGUAAUGCGCCAAGGAAACAAAAGGGCCGCAGCACAGGGCUGCACAUGUACAUACGUACGAGGGGAGGGAAAAGGAAUAGACAUGGUGAACGUUUUGGGUUUUGGGUUUGGGGUUUGGGGACCCUGAGACUUGAGGAGCCACACACAUUACAUGAUGGGCUGAGUAAAAGCAGAGGAAGAAAUAAAUGGGAAGGGAGGUUUGAGUUGCAGCGCAGCCGGGGAAACAGGUGCACACAGCGCAGCUGUUUGUAUGGCCCUGGUGCAUCAGUAUCAGUGUGCGGGACGAGUGACCAGGGCACAUUGCGGCGGCAAUAUGAGCUCAACAGGAAGUCCGCAGCUGUCAGGACGCCAACCUCGACCUAUAAACCCAACCUCAUAAAAUUUGAAGGGGUUCGAUUCCCCUUUUUGUCCCAUCUAAAGCAUAUCCCUCAGCCCCCAAAGCUCCUCACCUGAGCCAACCCCGCAGUAAUCUCCCCGGGUAGGGCCUCAUCCGGAACCGCCAGCAUCGACACAAGGCCCAACACGCAAACUUUCUUGUCGUGCAUGCGACGAAAAUGCUUCGGCUUGCCCGACUUCUUGUUGGCAAAAAUGGCGGCAAACCACGCCGUGAAGAACUGCCCCACGACGCCCAUCUGGACCAACACACUCAGCGCCAGAGCGGCGUUGUAGUACAGCGCGUUCGCGACCACCAGGACGAGCGCGUCCUGCAGAUUAUGAUAGGUAGGUUAGCAGAAAUACAAUAACAUUAUCAGCACAGCGGAUAGGCAGAGAAAAAAGCAGCAGAUUCGGAAAAGAAAUGGGGAAAUGUGCGCAUUAUAAUUUAAGGAUACGAUCGGGAAAUUCAAUUGGACAUAUGGAUACACAAGAGGUCGGUGAAAAAGCGGAUAUACUUAAACGUGCCACAUAAGGUACUCAGAUGACAUAUAAGCGUACAGACAAGUCACAAGAAGAAGAUUCAGCUCCUCGCCAGGUACAGCAACAUACCAAUUCCCCAAUCUACCGCUGUAUGUAUAUCAGCGCAUUUAUCAUUCCGGUAAAUCCCCCCGAAAGCAUUCCCACCUUGAGCGUGCGGUUGGUGGCGGUUUGUAGCUUCCCCAACGCCAGCUGCAGGUAGGGACCGACCCACGGGUCGACCCUGCCGCGGCAGUUCUGCAACACCACCUCCAACAAUCUGACCGCUGGCACCACAUCGCGCUCCCCAAAGUCACCCUUCAGAGCGCCCUGCACCAUGCCGAACAGGCUGGCGCGGUAGUCGGGGGUAGUCGAGGAGAGGAACCGCUCCGGGUCCCGACUGAUGAAGUUGUCCAGAGGCACCUGCGAACAUUAGACAGAUACGAUAACAUGUGGGCGGGCCGGGAGAGCAGACACACACACAAACAAGAAACACACACACACACAUACAAACAUGGGUCAUAAACAGCUCAGGACAGGACGGGUCAUAUGACCGGAAGGAACGGAACAGAUGACAUCCAUCAAGACAGGUCACCGCAUGCUUGGGCGGAUAGACAGUUAGGGUUAAGAGGAGGACACAGGUAACGACGGGGAAAGACUGAAACGGGAGAGCACGAAGCACGAGGUAGCGUCCCCCCGCCCGGUAAGCGACAAUUUGUUACCCAUAGACCCCCAAGACGCGGAAGUAAAUACACCCUCUCUAAGUCUCCAAGAACUGGGUUGAACCAAAAGUAAGAUGGCCACACGAGACGCUUCUCCACGAAUUGCCCGCCACCCUUCCCGCACUCACCCCAUGCACUGUUUCCUCUUACCUCUUCUCUUCCCCCCGCCUACACACACAUCCUUCUCCCCCACCCACCAGGAUGUUCUCCCAGUAGUCCACCGCCCACUCGUUGACCGCCGCCUCAAUCUGGGGCCAUAGGGCCCACAACCUCUCGCUGAUGGACUGGCCAUAGUACGUCAAAUACGACAGCAUCUCCAGGACCUGUGUACAGCAGGCAACAGGUAGAGUAGUACACAAUCAGAAAACGACGACAACGAUAACAACAGUGCCAACAUCACCACCACCCCAGCAAACCUGGUCUGCAGAUAGGCAAACGAAAUGACCGUCGGCUCGCCCAAGUGCCGACCUUUCCCCUUUCUUCCUCCUUCCCUCACCCCCUCCCCAAACCCCCAAACCCGUUUCCCGGCGCCCCCUCCCAAAAAAAACAAACCCUCGCUUGGCUCACCUCCUCAAACACAUCCUGUCCCUCCGUGGACAGCAUCCUGUGCAUCAGCGGAUACAGCACCUCCUCCAGAGAGGCAACCAACGCGGGCUGGUCGCUGCAGCUCUCCAGCAACGUGUUCAGGGCCCGCAUGCAGCCAAACGCGGCAAUGCCAGCUGCAACGAGGGACAAGUGGGGAAGCGCGUGAGGGUGAGUGCGGGGGCGGAAGGCGGAAAAGGGAUAAGUUAGAACGGUAAAAACUGGAGUCCUGAAUGCGAAGCGGGUAGGAGAGAUAGAGGACUGGGCAGAGUAGCGACGGGCAGAGAAAGCCCACGCGAAGCCGCGCGACGCUACACCUCCCACACCAAACUACAACAACAACAACAGCAACAACAACGAUGCAAUUGAUAUGGCCACCACCAUGCCACUGACGCAUGUCCUCAUGGCGAUACAGCGCAGGUGUGCAUGUGCACACACACGCAAUAUCACACACACGCAGGAGAGACCACAGCCCAGCAACCUAGUACCCAACCACCCACCCAGCCACCCACCCGUAUCCUCGUCGCCCUCAGCAUCCUCGUCUGCCACAGCGCAGUACUUCCAAAACGCACUCGUCAGUUGGGAAGCCAUCUGUACGGCGUACGGCCCGAUCUUGUCCCCAAACUUGUCCACCAACACCUCCAACGUAAACACCAGGUCCUCGUUAUCAACCUGCGCGCGCCGCACGCGUGAGCAUCCAAAGAGUGACGACAUGCCAGGAGCCGUUCAUCGUAUAUGCGGAAGUUGGUUCCAGAAAACACAUGGCGAUAUGUGUAAUAGCGCAGCGGAGUGAGCGAGAAUGAAGAAAAUCAUUUCACGUGGAACGAGAGGUUCGGUUCAGCAACUACCUGACAGAGUAUUGGAAGCAGGUUUGGGGCUGCUCGGCCCGUAACUUCCGACAACCCUACAGUGAAAGCCCCAAUACCCACUCGGCAACCCCCUUUUCCCCUCCCCUCCCCUCUCCCCCUACCCCUCCUUCUCCAGGCCCACCGGGUACCCCCCCACGACCCGCCCCGACCUGGUUCAUGAGUCCGAAUAUGGAGUUCAGUAGCUGGGGCAGUGCGGGCGCCACGGGCUCCACAUCCUCCAUCUCCUCCAGAAAGUGACGGAGGGACACCACCGCGUCCACACGCACCGGCAGCUCGGGGUCGCCCAAGCAGCGGGCGACCUGGGGGAGGGACAGAGAGAGAGAAGUACAGCCGAGGAGGGAAAGAGAGAGAUAGAGCGGGAAGGAUAGGGAAAGGAACAUGAUGUCGAGCAGAAGGGGGGAUCAUACCAUGAUGCAAGAAACUCAGAAACGAACUGCUGACGUCCAAAGUCCGAAAAAAAACACCACUGGAAUCCCAAGCGAGUAGAGGGGGGGAGGCGGGCGGGCGAGAUAUAAGGUGAAAUAAAAGGAUAUGGUGGUGAGAAGUUCAUGGGUCCGACGGAAAAGGACUGGCUCAGUCCGGCGAGUGGGGAUAUCUACCCCCGCCACUACCAACUCCGUGCCUACCCGCCUUUUUACAGCACACGCCCCAAAACUCAUUCCCUGCCCAAAACUCAUUUCCCCCCCCAUCCACCCACACCCAUUCAUCUGCACCAGCAACCCUUUGCCAUCGGCCCCAUGGCCCCACCCGACCCAACAAUACACCUGCUCAAAGAAGCGCAUGUAGGUGGGUCCCCGGUUGGUGCCGUCGGGGAACGUCGUGUCGCAAAACACGCCACUGACCCACACCGCCUUGGAACGAAGGUGGCCGUGAGGCGAAGUGAAGCACGGCAUCACGUACGUCGCCAUAAUGGGGCCAAGCUGGUCCUUGUACGGCUUCUGCAUUGCAGUACAACACAGUACAGUUCUUUUCAUGGUACCUGUGCGUGGAUGUGCAUGACAGCAUGGCAAACAAAGCACGGAGCAAAGCUAAACAACAACAACGACGACGCAAGGGCGUCAGAGAGCCGAUCCAGGGAAAGGUCAACAAGGGAUCGCGGCCUCAACCUCUCCCUCCCAGAGCCCAUCCAUCCGCAGCCCUCCUCUCCUCCCCUCUCCCCCCUCCCCGAAGCCCAUCCUAACGCGCCCCGUAACUCCCACUUUCAAAGACACACAGCGAAUAGGGAGAUUUUUCCCCACAUUCCCAUUGCUCUACCCCACUAAAGCCUCAUCACCACUCUGAAACCCACAGCAACAACUCAACAUAACACACAUUUCCCCGCCCACUUCCACUGUCAUGUACUCACCUCACCUCACCCACCCAUCCCAGCCCAUGUUUACACACGCACACAGACCCCCCUAGUGCUCACCUUGGACUUGAGCAGGGGCGCCAGGCAGCCCACCGCCAGCAACGCCCCGUCCACCCUCCGCGCCUCCGCCACGGUGGGCACUCCGCCCUCUCCUACUGUACGACCAAAACCCGAAAGCAGCCCCGCCACCAGGCUCAUAAAAGCAUCCAGAUGAGAGCGCUUCUUGCUGCACAGGUCGUGAGCAAAGUUGGCUGCGGCAGUUUUGGGCGAGUACAUGUCCUCGAGGAUGUCGUAACCCUGACGAUCAGGAGAGAGGUGGCGCGCACAAAACGACAUCGUCGAGGGGGUUCAGCACGAGGAGUUGAAAUGGGAGUUGAAAUGCGUGUGUGGCGCUUAGUAGCGCUUGGGGGCGGGUCCCUUGUGCAUAUCACUUACCCCCGUUACGUUACCACCCCUACCUUUCCUUCAAAACUUGCCAUCCCAUUAACCCACCCUUCCCCUCUACCCCCUCGCCCUCCCCUCCACCGUUGCUUUUGCAAAUUCCCCUCCGCCUCCGCCUCCACCUCCCUGCCCCACCCCCCCAGCACCUUGCGGAUGUACUCCUGGGGGUCCUCCGCCCACAACCUGGCGUCCUCGUCGUUGAAGGCCAUGAGCGGGAAGGCCACGUGGUGCAGCAGCUGGUCCCAGGAGGAGCCCACUCGCUUGUAACACGAGGGCAGGUUGACCGCGUGGCUCAUGUACUGCAUGCGGUCAGGUGUGGUGCGGCGGGAUGAAGGUGUGGCGCGGCGGGGAAACAAGCGACGUUGACACAAAGUCAACAUUAAUGUGUCUUGAACAAUAUUAUUCACAGCACUGGAGAAUGGCGAAGGUAAGGCCACGAAGGAAGGCUCAUGUACCGCUCAAAUUAGACACGCGGAGGGGGGGGGGAAACACGGUGUCUUAUGACCCACUUCUAUGACCCACGCCCCGGCCCUUUGCUUGGGCGGAGGCACUCAUCCCUUUCCCCCCCAUCCUUGGCGCCACGGGGCACCGUUCCCAAUCCCACUUCCAUCGACUCACCUGGAACAGCAGGUUGGUGCAGCGGGGGCUGAAGUACGUCCCCUGGGCCAGCUGGGACAUAAGGCCCAGGUGGGCAUCCAAGAAGUGCAUCAUGCACUCAGACUGAGGGACAAAUGAAGCGGCGGGAGGUGAGAGAUGGAGAGGGACAUUGUAGACGUGAGAGCAGGGGAGGCCAGGAGAGGGAGGGGCCAUGGCUGGGUCGGUGGGUCGGUGGAUGGUGUUAACCUUUGGGCUUAAUCACAAUUUCACAAAACCAAACCUAACGCGACCCACGUAAUGUCGUGAAAAUAAUAUCAUGAUUGGGGUUUAGGUUUAUAAAAGGUAUGGGGAUUUCAUGGGGAUAAGUUUCAGGUCUUGAACAGCCCACAUGCCUACCGCACUCCUCUCCUUUACUCUGCUCCUUACUGAACACCCGUCCUCAAGCCUUACUACUCCUUCACCCCCUCUCUCCUCCACUCCUUCACAUCGACCUCACCGCGUACAGCUCGGCAAACGGCUUCUCCGUGCCAUCGCGGCAGUUCUUCGGCUGACCAUACCUGCACCGGGCGGGGGGGAGUGGGGGCGCGCAGGGUGGGGGAAGAAAGGUUGAGGGGGGAAGUCGGAGGUAUGGGGACAGGCGGCAGGACGUUCGUGCGUGCACGGUUAAGCGUGUGAACGUGUGCCAGGCAGACAUCCGCUUACAUGGGAAGGCUUUAUGAGCUUGCAAAUGAGCACAUGCACCUGUUGCCAAGGUGCGUGCCUACCGCAGAGCAUACGCCUCUCCACGCAUUCACUCAUACCCACAUACCAUCUGGACUUCAAGGACGGUGGGUGUUUGUCGUAACCCGUCACCCCCCCCACGUAAAUCAUAUUAGAAUUACGAUGAUGAGAUUUUACAUCCUUCUAGCACUUACAUACAUACAUAUAUACUUACAUACCUAUAGGACAGGUAUGUAGUCAUAUUCCCGUAUACACACGCAUACAUAUCUCACCUGUUGUACAGACGGUAGGUGAUGUGCAGCACCCACUUCUUGGCCUUCCACCAAGGGGCGGCGGGCCGGUCGUUGGGGUCCAGGGAGGCGACAUCCUGACGCAAGGAAGCGGAGGGGGCGAGCGGCUAAGACAGCCAAGCAAAACAUCCGACCCAUUCUCCAGACCAACAACGUGGAAAGUAGUUCGUAUUCCAAUGGGUUGGGAGGGACUUCAUGCAUGAGACCUCGGACUCCGCUGAAUACCUCCGUGCAGAUCCGGCGGUGCGCUCCACUCUUCCUCCAAAACGCUAAAACCCCAUCCCUCCAUCCAGUCGGCUCACAAAAGGGAGCCCCUUUGUGCGCCCCACAGCCGUCCCAAACACAUGCACAACAACAUAGUGGAUGCGCUCCCCAGCACCCUCCAACCAACCCAACCCACCGCCCCGCACCCACCGCCGGCUCCGCCUGGGUCAGUGCGGAGUGCAGGGCGCCCAUCCAGCCGGUGAAGGUCUCCGGCUCCAGCAGGGCAGCAGGCACACCCAUGUAGGUGGACGACCAAAACGUCUUACAUACCAAUUUGAUGUAACCGGAGAUCUGGUCCAAGGGAAAAAAUCCCAGGGAAAAAACACAGAUUCAUAGGGGUACGGGGCGCGGGAGCCCGGAGAAGAUGAGCGGGAUCAGGGCGUUGGAGAAAAACCAACCGGACCUUUACACAGAGGCUUGAUAUCUUAGCCCGGCAUGUAUGUAUGAACGUGAAUAUAUGCGUUUGUAGUGGAUUGGCUUCCCCUUUUCACAUCAGAAGGACAAGGCUCACACGCUCAUGCGCAACCCGCAAACCCCUCCCCCCCCUCCAUGCAACCGCACUCCCGCAACACCACGUGCCCCACUGUAAAGAGGGAUACCCAAGAUACGUCCCCCCCUCCCCUAGAAUAGUGGAGUACUCGACUCUGAUCUGUCGACACACGCGCCCACGCACGUGCCAAACAACCCUUCAUGACAUCAUGGCAUCACCAUCGGCAUACAAACCCAGUGCCCGUAUCCAACAGCACAUUUUCGGCAUACAAACCCAGUGCCCGUAUCCAACAGCACAUUUUCACACCUACAUACAUACCUGCGCACUGGGUGGCGCCGCCAGCAGCUGCCUAAAGAUGUGCAGCAGCAGCGGGAAGGCGGUGGUGAUGAUUCCCUCCAGGGGAGCCCGCUCCUCCUCGUCACGGAAUUCGUACUUGCGAGCCAGCAGCCGCAGAGCCAACAACCCCCCGUGGACACGGCUCUGGUCCUGUAAGGCGGAUGUUGGCAAGGGGAAUGGGGGGUAGCGUUAGCGUUGGGGGGGCAAACGGUGCAUUAGUUCAUGACAUACGGAUAAAAGCUGUUGCAGACAAAGGUCGUGUAGAAGCAAAAAAAGCAAAAGGUUAACACCGCACCGUACCUACGCCGUACCUGCGCCGAGAGGUUGCCGUACAGCGCCUGCAGCAGCCCCGGCCACUGCUCGGGGUAGUCGCAGUAGACAAUGAUCUUGAACACCUCGGACAGCUGAGACUGAAUGUUGUGAGGAGCACUGCGGGGCAAGAAAGAAAGAAAGAGCAAAUAUUGAAGGACCAAAUGGCAUCAGACGCUCUGUCUUCUUGCCUGUUUGUGGAGCGACCCAGAUCCACUCGUUCCCAUUUUCUCUCCCUAACCUUCCACCCUCGUCCACUCCCGCUUGAACAGAAUUUCUCUUCACAAAGAUACGGAACACGAACUUCGAUGGCCGGCGUCCUCCCCCUCCCUCCCGCCCCCUCCCCGGCCCAACCCCACACGCACCCUACCUCACCCACCGGAUCAUAGCCUCCAGGAUGUUCUGUCGAACAACCUCCUUGUCCGAGUCCGGGAUGACAUACUGCGUUGAUGUCCCGCCUGAUGAUGGGCGGCAAGGAGCCAAGACAUUCGCGGCUAAGGCUAGGUCGCAGUAACGCAACCCCAUAACAUCAGGGCCCCUUGAAGUUGAAAACUGCGGUACCAAAACGCCUUAAAGGCCUAACGCUAAAGGGCUAACGCUUCCAUUCGCCGUAAUACCUAAACAAAAAGGCCUCUCCUGGCAUGUAAAUUGAUUGGGUGCAGAUGCUGGUCCGGUCGGAUCACCUAUUAAGCUAACUCCAAUAACCCCCCGCGGUCGAGAUUCUAAUUAUUUAUGGAUCUGACAGUCCAGGAAACGCCAAUGCCAGAUGGUGGACUGCUGUGGGGCUUGGGGGGAUGCCUUCCCAAACCCCGCAGUACCUGUUCGCACGCAAGCCCAUCGAGAUGUUCUUAUGAACACCCACGCAACCGCAUGGCAUUCUAUAGGGCAUGGUGUGGCGAGCAGAAACUGCUGGCAUAAGCGGGUUUUACAUGUAAGCUUUCAUACCCCUCCUCCGUAUGCAGCAUUGACACAUGGUGGGGCCCCGCCAAGGCGGAUCUCCGUGGGGAAAGCAUAACUCGCAAGAUAAAGAGAUGUGAGGGAGGAAGGAAAUCUAAACACCAUCAGGGACCCUUACUGUGGGCAACGUCCGUGCUGCGAUGAAAAACCCAACACGAAUCAAGCCGAGACUGACCGCCCGUUGUAUGCCAAGCAUACCUUGCAGAGUUUCAUGCGCUUCUGACUUAUCCCAACUCCGCUUUACAAAGUUUUUAAAGUUGAUGGCUGCCAUAUGCCGGACUCCCGCAUCGACUGAUUCCUCUGCUGCCACGCGCAAGAGCUGCACGGCCUGUCCCGGCAGCUGCUCAUGCUGCAUAUUGAUCGACAAAAGCGCGGUGCAUAGGGUGCAUCGUCAAUACAGGUAAUUUCUGAGGAUUUAAUUGGCGGCAGUUGGCGGCGCCCAGCCCAACGGGGCAAGCCAUACCUGCUUUAAAACCCGCUCCGCCUCCUUGACAUGAUUUUGAUCAUGACUUAGACACGCUUGCAAAACUGGCAGCAGCGCCUGAAUGUCCAUGCUCCCUUUCCAGGUAAAGCAGCAGGUUCAAGGUCCGUCAGAAACAAUAAAAUAGGCCCAAAUAAACUAGAAACAAAGUAUACAGGUUUAUGCUGUGGAGCCCUUACUUUAUUAUGAGCAAGGAGGAAGGCAGCGCAAUGAAUAGCGCUUUGAAACGGAGCCGAAUUCCACGCCGGCUGUCGCACCCUAUCUUUAUCUGGGGUGCUGUUAUUUCACUGACGGCGACAACACGUGUAUUACUGGACGGCUAGCCUGUUACCGUACCUUUAAAGUGUGUACGUCACACGGCCAGGAUCCCGCAGCCCUUGUGCCCACCUCGCAAAGAAAAUAAAACUUACAAUUGCAACAAAGCAAGUACUUCAAAUCCUGUGGUGAUGCUUACGGUCUUCCCUUUGCUUAAGUAUCCGCAAAUAACCGGUUGCCGUGGGCUGCCAUUCAGCCGGGGUGGUUCGUCGGUGCUGGCGGGGACCCAGCGACAAGUGACCAUCAUGAUUCUGAACUCAACGUGAGGAGAACUUGGGAGCAGCUUGCGCUGUGAGGUGCACGCAGCAAAAUCACCCAGGUCCAUCGCAACCUCCGCACAUGGCUUCUGGACGUGUUCCCGCAUUUAAGACCGCAAGCUCGCUCCAUUCCACGUACGUCUCCUCCCUUCAUAAGGUUGCUACUUGAGGCCAUGGGUAACGUCCAUAUGGGGUUUACGGAGGCAAGCACUCCUGGCUGCCGUAUCUCAGACGCUCUUCCUCGACGAGUGAACGGGUGGACGACGUAUGCUUUAAUCGACCAGAGAGAAUAUCCUGAGCAGACGCUGAUUGAUGAGGAUUAUUUGAAGUAGAGCUUAAAGGGUCAAAAGCCAGCGUCAACCUCGCGAACGAGGGGUAUGGUAUGGUUUUGUUUGCAUGCCGGGGAGAGCAAUUCUCACACCCGAAAAAUAGCUGUGAAGGACAACUGCUGGGCCGCGCUUUGGACACGUCCUGCAAAUCGGACUUCCCUCGGAAGGGAUUAGGGGAAGGUCGGCCAAAACAUCUUCCACAUUUCAGGAGAUACUGAUGGCUGCUGAAUUGGCUGAAGAUGUGUGACAGCUCAUUGUUGUUGCCUUUCGCUUGCAGCGUGGCGAUGGUGGUUGUGCCGAGACGGUUGGUCACUGAUAGCCUUCUGAAGUUUUCGUUAAUUGUCUAACCCACGCCAAUCUGGUAUACGCUGGACCCAUCUGACAUAUUGCUAAAAAAAUUGCAGUAUCCUUACAGGCCUGCAUUGAUUUGAAAGCCACGCAAAGGCAGCUUUGCAGGAAAACGGCAUCACAUAUCUCUUGCCACUCCAUCCUGAAUACGGGCGCUAGUUUAGAGGCUCUUUAGUUUAAAACUACCUCUUCGACCAUCUCCUGUUUGUCAAGGCAUCCUGUUUGUCAAGGCAACAGCGACACACAACCACCGUUCGCAGUUCGCAAAAUGGUCGCAAUAUCGCAAUAGCAUCAUGCAUAUAAAUGACAUAGUUACCCUCAUCGGGGUCGCUUGACACCCACGACCUAAACGCGCUGUGGCUUUUGUCGCUCCUUUGUGCCGCGACGCCUGCCGCACACAUCACAUCAUCCUUCACACAUUCAUCGCAAGUGGCAAAGCACUACUUCAUGUCGCAGCCUGCAGAAACUACCGGACAGGACGGCCUCCCUUCAGGAGGGCUCGUCACGGGUCUUCCAUCCACCGCACCCCAGGCCAUUCCCCCCAGCGGACACAUUCAAUUCGACCCUGCCAUGACGCAUCUACUGUCCGGCAUCGCAGCCCAGCUUCAAGCCGCUGCAGCCGCUGCCGCAUCAGCCUCCCCUGCUGCAGGACCCGCCCAAGUUGACCCGCCCCAGCCACAACCCCAGACAGCCGGAACUCCCCAAGCAGCAGCACCACAACCACAGUCACCACCUUCUACCUCGCCGUACGCAGCUCCCGACGGCCUAGCCUUGAAACCGGAGGCCGUGCCGGCUUUUGGCGGACUGGGUGGACUGGGUGGCCUAGGACUAGAUUUAACCCACCCUGGACCGCCUUUGCUGGCCUGUCCUUCAGUCCCAGGCCCCGGCCCGGGCUUGACACCCGGGUUUGGAGGGGGCUCAACUCUUGCUGCUGCUACUGCUGCUGCUACUGCUGGUGGUGCAGCGACCGUUGCUGCGACUGCACCCAAGUCCGCAGGAGCCCCAUUCGAUCCGGAGGCGUUAGCGGCGGCUCUUACCGCACGUAUGAGCGCAGCCGGGGCGUCCAUCAUUUUCGAGAAGGCUCUGACUGCGAGCGACGUCAGUGGGGGCGGCAGGGUGGUGGUGCCCAAGGUGCGCCAGGGCGUGCAGGAGCCUGGUGCUCGGGGAGUGGGGCGACGAGGGGGAAGAAGGGAAGCAGGGGAAGGGUGGGAAGCGAUAAAGGAGUUCGAAACACAGACCGAGCGCGAGGGGAAGGGAGGGGAAGGAAGGGGAAGAAGCUGACCGAGUCGGAUGAGGGGGGUGGCGGCGGCAGGGCGCCCCGGGGCCUUAAAGAAGGUGAAGGUUGGAGCGCGACCCAGAUCAGCUUAGGGACCCAGAUCACGGGCCAAGCACAUCGCGACCCCAUCUUGCGACUGGCUCAGGGAGGUCAACACUAUCCACCCAAAUCGACACCAUCAACUUCCAUAUUCUCCUUUCUCAGUCCACCCCCUCGUUCUCUCUUCCAGCAACGUCCUGUGUUUCUUUUUCGCUCCCUCCCCCUUCCCGUAACGCUCUGCUCCCAGUCCAUUGCCGAGCAGUACUUCCCCAAACUGGAGCAGCCCAGCGGGGUCACCAUUUCCGCGACCGACUUGGACGGCAGGUCGUACACAUUCAAGUGGAGGUGCGCGGGGGCACAUGGGCACAUGGGGACAUGGGGAUGUGGUGCUUGGACGGGGUAUCGCUCGUAAGCAGGACACGCAGUGAGGAGCUCCCUGAGAUGAGAGGUCUGUGCAGCGCGUGAUGUGAGGGGGGUUUAGAGGGGGGUACGACGAAGCACAGACGAUUGUCGAAAAGGAAAUACCGAUGACGGAUAGGGGUAUAUGGGGGCCCCACUGGGGUUGUUAGGAGGUGACGGGCCAGGAGGUAGGGGGUGUAGGGGCGGGCCUGGGUAGGGGCACGGAAUGCGAGCCAAGUGGAACCGUGGGCAAGUACGACAUCACCCGGGGAUGCCGUACUGUGCCGCUCACCAGAGUGAGGUGCCUCGCCUGGACAGCCCACGGGUUUGUUUGGACCGUACGAGCUCCCGAGGCUUGUAGUAAUCCGUACAUCCGUACAUCCAUCCGGUGCGUUUUAAGACGGCAGGAUCAGGAGCUGAGGGCUCCAGUGGAACAUGGCGAAAUUGGGGCGAUGGACGUACAUACAUACAAAAAACGUACAAGAUGCCAUCGCAAACAUGCGUAGUUCCUGGCCGUCUACCUUAAGAAGACGUAACCUUACCUGAAGUAGCUUCAUGAGUCCGCCCCUUCGCCCCUCCUGGAAGGUUCUGGGUCAAUAACAGCAGCCGCAUGUACCUGCUGGAGGGAGCGGGUGAGCUGCACAGGAACUACGGACUGGAGGUGAGGUGUGCUGCGGGGUGGCUGGGCAGGUAUGUGGUUAUCUGGCAUGAUUGGUGGUCGGGUGGGUGGGGAGGGGUGGGAGUGGAAGGAGGUGUGUCUGGGUUGCGUGGGGAGAGGGGACGAUUGUUACAAGCUAUUGCAGCUAUAUCGCUGCGGCUUUCACUUGUGGCUGGAUUUCCUAGAAGCCUUCCUGAUUACGAUUUUUGCUGCUGUUGUUGUUGUUGUUUUGUUGUUGUUGUUAUUGCUGUUGUUACUGUGUUCUUGCUGCUGGUGUGAUUUGAUGUGAUGGUUGCGAUAUGCGCAGGUGGGCGACGUGAUGGUGUUCGCGCAGAAGGCCGACGGCUCACUGAUGGUGGCGGGCAGGGCCGCAAGCAAGGUGAGGAGAUGUGUGUGUGUGUGUGUGUUACGUGGUUGGUGGGUGCGUGACCCCAUACCUGUAAAACUCUACCCAUACGAGCCAAAGGCCCAAGGAGAUGUGGACGGGGAGCCAGGCACGGGGCAGGGGGCACGGGGACGGUUCACUUGGCCUGAGGAUUUGUUAGGUGCCGUCUUUACGGGUGUUUGUCAGAAAGGCGCCACUAGCACACGGGCCCUAAGGGCGACAGCAACACGAGCGAAUGCUUGAGGGCAGGGACAGGGGACAGAAAUCUGUACAGCACGACUCUGGCUUCCCGCACCCCCUUUCGUACUUGACCCUUUUCCAACUUUGUUGGCUGGCUGGGUGGUGUUUUUGCCGGUGGUGGUGGUGAUGAUGAUGAUGAUGAUGAUGGUGGUGGUGGUGGUGGUGGUGGCCGUCUGGACGGCUGGUGGUGAUGGUGAUGGUGAUGGUGAUGGUGAUGAUGGUUUGUGGGAGCCCAGUCCGAUCAAGUGAAGAGGCCACCCGCAAAGCGCCCAGCUACAGCAGCUGUUGCCGGCGGCUCCAGUGGUGGCGGUGGUGCAGGCGCCGGAGGAGGAGGAGGAGGUCAGGCGCCUCGCAGCCGCGACGCGCGAGCACCGCGCCCUCGUCCAGCUGUGGCUGCAUCCGCUGGCGCGGCAGCGGAGGGCGCAGCGGCCGCGGCCGCGGCGGCGCAGCCGAUCCCUGGGCGCCUGACGGCCGGCGGCGGCCCUAGUACGGCAGUUGCUUCCGCCGACGCCAGCCUGUUGCGUGGUGGCGGUGGUGGCGGACGAAAGCGGAAGGUCUCCUCCUCCGCAGCAACAGCAGCAGCAGCGACGGGGGCGGCGGUAGGUGGUCUGGCCGCGGACCCCACCCGGUUUCGUGUGCGGCCUGGCGAUGAGGGGCUGACGUCGCUGGCAGUGCUGGACAUGGAGGCGCCCUCUGACGGGAUAUUCCGGGUGCGUGGGGAGGUGGAGUGGGGGGAUGGAGUGGGGGGGUGGUAUGUGGGGAGGUGGAGUGGGGAGGUGGAGUGGGGAGGUGGAGUGGGGAGGUGGAGUGGGGAGGUGGAGUGGGGAGGUGGAGUGGGGAAUUGAGGAUGUGGUUGGGGAAUCAGGUGGGGGCUGCCGACCACAUGUACGUACGCACACCCACACGCCGACACUAUGUUGGUGUUGUGGCCCCCACGGUGCGCCCGUGGUGUACUGUACUGUACUGUACUGUACUGUGUUGGCAAACCCUAAAGCCGCAGCUGUCUGUGUCCAUGGAAAGGUACGCGCAACCCAAAGCCAACCUCCGUAUUUCCUCUCGCUCCGCAACCCAUGACCCAGAGUAUCAGAAGUUCUUUUGAGCUGACUGCCGGGAGGUGGGGCCAUGUUUUUGUUUUUUUGCAGGGCGAAUGGGGGUGAUACUUAUUUCCUCCGACCGCUUCCCUUUCCUUCUCCUUUCUCAGGCGGUGGUGCAGCACGUGUCGCCGGUGUCCCUGGGUGUGGCUCUGGCCCGCAACAACCGCUGGACGGCCACGCUGGAAGUAGCUGGUGAGGGCGGGUGGAUCAGCGGGUGGCGGCCACAGUGGAAAGCUGAAGAACUUCGCCUCCACCCCAGUCGUGCACAUCAUGACCCCAUUCGGAUUUAUCCGCAAGCCAUUGUCCCAAUGUUGAAGUUAGAAAGAAGAAAAGUCGAAAGAAGUUAAAAUGUUAGCUUGAUCUAACCCCCAACGCCUGCACGCGAUUAUUGGAAUCUGAUUCUACGAAUCUUAGAACCAGACGCUUAGAGGCCGGAAUAUCACGCUUGGAUUUUCCGUGUGUAGACGGGUAUUUGCAUGUAUGCCCCUUCCUCGCCCCUGCCGUGCUGCCCCAUCACUGUUCCACCACGGUCCCGCCAAACCACACAACACAACACCACAACAGAUCACAACACGUGGCGGUACAACACCACACCAAACAACAUCACAUCACACCACGCCUGGCGCCCAACACCCUUUCGACCCCCAGGCGAGUUCUACCAGGCCUUCUUCGACUCGCGGGAGGAUGCGGUGGAGGCGGUAACGGCGGCGGGGGCAUCUCCCUGAGCAGGACAGGGAAGUGGGAGAUCUUGUUCAUUCUCCAUGCCGUGGAGAAUGGACACAGGGCAGGAAGGACGGGUCCUGGAGGAGUAAGGAGCCUGGAGGAGCAGAGGAUAAGCGUGAGGAUGAGCAGGAGGGCAACGGCAGGAAGAUCAGCAGGAAGGGGAGGAGGAGGAGUUGAGGGGCAGGGAGUUGUCCCCGCCAUAGGCCGUACCGAAUGGUGCAUGUUGACAUAUCCUCAGAUAGUCGUGUGUUGGCUGAUGACAGUCCAACGCUGUUGCACUUCAGGACUGCCGAAGAGGCUGUUGAGGUCAUCGUCCAAUUUGUGCGAGCAGCACGUUGGGUGACUGAAAGAGUGCUUGGAGCAAGCGUCGUUUUUGUGCGGCAUGUUAUGCGUGUGAUGAGGGCAGCAGGCCCUAUGGGCCCGUAUGGCAAAUCUCGCCCUGCAGAGGGCGGACGAGUUUUCUGCAUGCAUGACCGUACAAAAAGGAAAAGCUGCAAACCUCCGUUCGGCACUAAACCCAAACAAUCCGACGGUUUAGGGUUGAGGAGUUAAAAGUUCUAUCAAAGGAUCUCACAUUUCUACACAGCCUCCGGUACAAGGGAAAGUUGUUUUGAGUCCUCCAACUGUUCCUUUCAUAUCAGUUAAGGGCAACAUGCCGUACUGUACGGAUGGCCCAACGGCGCUAGAGUGCACGCAUGCUAACGUCUCUAUGAAGUGAGUUACCACUCAUGAAGCUGGACAUGCUAAAAAGCCAGGACCGGUGAUAGCACUGACGCCAAAUGCAUCACGUGAUAGGGUACGUCGCUGGGAAGGGCUGGGAGCUAACAGCUCCAGUGCUAGUCCCAGACAUAUAUCGGCGUAUUACAACCUCUCCCAGGAAAGACCCGCUUCUAGAAACAAACAUCCAUUUUGGAUCCAUCCAUCCCUACAUCUCCAAACCCAAGGCUGCAGUAUCCAGUCCUCCAUCCUCCAUCUACACACUACCUGACGCCCCCUUAACUGUGUCACCCCACAACACUAAACCCUAAGCUACAACUAAAAUAACUCCAUCACACCAGCCCUUUUGCUCACUUUAGGUGAACUCUUAGCUGACGCCAGAAUCCAGAUCCUAAUAAAUAGCAACUGCGCUCAAGGCGGCCAGCCAGACAGCUUUCCUCCAUACUCCCAGCUGUCAUACCCGCCGCGAAAUAAGUUCCAUCGGCUAUACCGGCCCACCACCAUCCCCAGGACGCCCAGCAGGUAGCGGCGGCGGCGGCGGCAGCAGCCCAUGUGCCGCACAAGACAGCGCAAUGAGCACCCGCUGGAACUCCUCAACGCUCCCCAGCACUGACCCACGGGCCGCCAGGGGGUCAGGUGCACAAUUCGCCUCCACCAACCGCUUCCGCGGUCUCCCUCGGACCCGGCCACCUUCCCUGGCGCCAACACCAGCGCCGGAGCCUUGACUUGCAGAAGUCGUCCUCGUCGUCGUAGUAGCGGCUGCUGAUGCUGGUGAAAGCGAUGAUGAUGUUGUUGAUGAUAAUGUCGAAGAUGCUUUCUCGGCGGUCUUAAAGGUGUCGGAUGCAGGAACGGUGGUGGUCAGGAGGACCGGCUCCGAGGGGUCGUCGGAGAAAGCGGCAGCUGCAGCGGCUGCAGCCCGGGCAGCUUGCAGUGCGGGCUCCCGCAACUCCUGCGGCACCCGGGUCGGGAGGGGGGAAGGGAGGGGGACGGAAUCAUCUGAUGAUGCAAGGAGCCUGGCUCCCUUCCUGGCUCCCUCCCUGGGAUUUGCCAAAGACGUGAACACGCCAACGAUGAAGCACAAUGUCAGGAGGAGUGCGGAUUGUGAAUGCCUGGGGUCAUGUAGUUGAUUGGGUGGUGUGUACCGUACUUGAAUUGUUAGUUGCAGCAGCUGCCACGCGCGCUGCUGCUGGUUCUCCCAUCCCUCCCCUUCCUCUCCUCCGUCCUCUUCCGGAUGCUGCUGCUGCUGCUGCUCCUCCUCCUCAACCGCCGCCACUGCCGCCGCCACUGCCUCCUCCGCAUCCAUGGCCAAGUUAGACAAAAGGUCUGCAACGACGUUCUGAGACCUGGGGAAGGGGGGAGGGGGAUGCCGGGUUCUCACUUGCAUUUGGGGUUGAGCGAUUUCGUGUACGGGUGGCUGUGGGUGCUUGUGGGAAGGGGGAAGCAUCAAGGCAGGUCGUAACCUCCAUCGAACCUUCCAGGCACUCAGCAGGCUACAAGGCAUGCAACCCUAACCCCAAGAAAUACACAUGCAUGAGCGGAACGAGGGCCUCCAUUGCAAUCCUCCUGAGCUUGCCAAUUUUUACUGUCUCCCCCAUCCUCCUCCUCCUCCUCCUCGUCAUCAAGGCCCCCCUUCCAUUUCCCUCUUCCCUCUUCCCCCACCACCCCCCAACGCACACACUGCUGCGCGAAUCACCUGGGAACGUGUUUUACUUCAAACGACGCCAGGCCCUCCCUCAGUCGAAACACCCGGGCGGCCAGGGGCUGUAGCGCCGGGGUGUUCACGCCAUAGCGCCCGGAGACCUGUGUGACAUGAGGUGUCGCACAGCAGCUUGUCAGAGGGAACAUCAGUGGCAGCGGCCAGAGAGUAGCAGCAACAGCAGUAGCAGAUUGAGGAGAAGUAAAAAAAAGCGUAGCAGUUGUAGUAGCAGUAGUAGUAGCAGUCUUCCUUGUCGUACUAUGUCCACAACCCCGGGUACACCAUCCAUCCAGUCUAUAGGGCCACACCUGGCGGCAUACGAGCUCAGAGUCGCCUUGUACGAUAAGGUGUCGUACGCCCAUAUCCACUGCCACCUGAUGGGAAGCGGCCAAAGGAUGAGACAGGAGGAACAGGGCCCCCAAGGCCCAGGGGGGGUUUGGUGGGUGAGGGAUCGGGGGUUAUCCAAAGGUACAUACAUACGUACAUUACCCCCCGCUCUCGCGGCCCACAGUGUAAUCUAAGUCAUACAUACAUACAUACAUAUAGGCAGGCGGCUGGCAGAGGUUAAGGCCUGACUUCUGCUCCCAGUCGACCCAGUCGACCCGGGUUCAAAUCCGCCUGCCGGCUCCUCGGGUGUUUGAGGAGUGAUGAAAUGGGAGGUGGCCCCCCAUCUUAUGGACGGUGUAGGACGUGAUAAUAUCAACUUGCGAGCUGACCAGGAACUAAGUUGAUGCGCCGUUGAUCCGCUAGAUUUGGUUGGAUGCUGGUGGUGAGUUGCCGAACCCAACGAAUACAUUCUGAAGUCGGAUGGGGUGACGGAUUAGGGUGCCCCUCUAGCAGGGGAGAGCAGGGACUGCCCCGGGAAAGGGGGCCGCUGGCGAAGUUAACCACCCUGUAACAACAUACAUACAUAUAUACGCCUCCAGACGCAGCAAACAUGCUAAGGCGCGGCGUAGUGUCCCCAGAACGUUUUCAGGAUUGAUCAAACAGCGGGUUGAAGAUAUCUCUUAGACCGUAAGAGGGUGGAUGUGGGUGCCCCCAUGCGGAUGGGCGGUGAUGGACACCCCCCGGUCUUAGUGAGAGACCUGCGAGCCCACCACCACCACCACCACCGGGAGUGGAGUGCAGUGCAGUGGAGGUGUCACUGCUGUUGAUCGGGCGGCAAAUUCUACUGGAUGAAUGCCGGUGGCGGUGGUUGUGGUGGGUGCUGGUCUGCUGAACCCAAAAGAGCCACUGAUUUCGCGCAAAAGUCGGCGCACAUGGGUGACAAGAAGGAUGAAAGGAUGGAAAAACCCACAUGCGGUGGGUCCACACACACCUUCAUCCCAGCCGCCAGCGCACUCCACUCCGCCACGUUGUUGCUGCUGCGAACCAACGGACCCGCCACACACUCCACCGGCCGGCCGCUGGCCUCAUCCACCAACACCGCCCCGAAGCCCGCGUCACCCGGGUUGCGACGAGAACCGCCGUCGAACUCCUGUGUGAACGUGAGGUGAGGUGCGGUGCGGCGGAUAGGGACGUGGAGGUAGGGGUGCAGGCGAGGCGGGGAAGCCGGCGGAGGGUAACGUGGGGGUGGGGAUGAGGAUGAGGGCGUACCGCGAACCGUCCUGUUGUUGUGUUGUUCGUAACAAUUCCGCGGCAGUUCCCAACUUCCCCUUUUCCAUUCCGCCGACAUGGCCCUCACAACCGGGCUACUUCCAUACGGCAGCCAACGUGCUUGCCGGUGUGUGUCUGUAUGUGUGUGUAUGCGUGUGUCUCUACGUAUGAAGGUGUGCGCGCCCGUCCAUCGACUGCCACCCGCGCACUGCCGUCCCCCUCCCUACCCUCCCUCUACCCCCCCCCCACCACCACCCCGGCCUCUCACCAGUCGGUAUAUUCGGGUGGGGUCCACAACGCCCGUCAAUGCGCUGAAGUCCAACACCACCUCCUCCUCCUCCUCCUUCCCCCCUACCGCCCUCUCAUACAGCUCCUCCUGCUCGAAUUCGUCCAGGAACACACGGCCACUGCCACCUCCUCCUGCUCCGCGUCCUCCUCCGCUACCGGCCCCACUGCCACCGCCUCCUCCUGAACUGCCAUCACUGAACUGGUCAGGAACCUCGCUCGCGACUGCCCUCCUCCCCUCAGCACCAACCGCAGCUGCAACCUCCGGGUCGAUAUUGCUGCUGCGACUGCUGCUGCUGCUGCUGCCGGUGGUGGUGACGUUACAGGUUGCUACUGGCGGUGGUGGAAGUGGUGGUGUUGGUGACCCAUCAAUAUGCCCCCUGGUCGCUGCGUGCUGGUGUGACGGGCUUGGACUCUGUGGGGCUGCUAGGGCUAGGUACGAGUACGCCUCAGGCAGCUUCUUGAACCUCCUGAGCAGGUCGAGUCCAGCCAAGUCAGGGGGUAGGAGAGUGGGAGUGGGAGUGCACAGAGGUGCGUGGACGUGUGAUAUGCAUCGCCGAGUGGGGGAGUGAAGGUUUGUGUGGAAAAGGUGAGGCACCAGGGCAGUGCGGGACACGAGUAUGUACGUAUGUAUGUAUUUUUCCGUUCGGUCUGGGCAAGACAUAAAACACCCUCCAGGUGCAAACCCUCCCCUCCGUAACCCCACCCGCCCUCCCCCCAACCCCCCACUCACCUAAAUACGGCACCACUGACGCCCUCCACUGCCGUACGCGCCUCCGACCAGCUGGUGAAUAUACCCACCUGGUGUGCCGUAACACCAACAACACAGCAACACCAGUACGGCAGCAGGACCGCAAGCCGUCAUCAAAACCAACCUGUCAUCGGUCAUCGCAACGGCAGCUGAGCCACUAUCUCACCAGCUAGGUCUACGCUGCGCAUCAGACCAGACACACGGCAAGAAAGGGCAUACUCCAGCACAUACAUACACACACACACGCGCAGCAACAUGUCCAGUUUCCGCAAGACUCUACACCUCCCUUCCCCUCCCCUCCCUCUGGCACGCAGGAUAAACCCUAAGCACUUGCCUUAUCUCGGUGCCUUCCCCUCCCCACACUCCGCCGCGCUCUCCCUCCUCACCCAAUGUUAACUGGCCAGUCGCCAGUAGAACAAAACCCCGGCGUCUUCACCCCCUCCCUGGACUCUCUAGGACCUCCAGGAGCGUGUGUUCCCUUCCCCCUCCUCUCCCCCUUUUCCCCUUUCCAGCUCGGGUCCCAUAAACACACAUCCUCACAGCACUUCCCAAUAGUGCAGAGCAGUUCAGUGUAGGGGGCAGUCCUCCGUUGCGGCCCCUGAUGGCCCCCUACCCACCCUGACGGGGUUUGUAUUCCCUUUCGGGGCUCCUAUCCGGGGCUCUAUCCCGCCGUAACGCCCCACUUACUAGAAGAAUAGCCGGCGGCUCAGUUCGACAAAACACACACACACACACACACACCUGCUUGCCCCUGGCCACCGCGUAGUACACCGCGGGGCUGGACGUGGAGGUGGCGGAGGGGUCGUGCGGCCCUCCGGCAUCCGCCCAUGCCGCCUCCACCCCUGCCGCCGGUGCGUUUACCAUUUCCACAUUACCAUCAAACGCCGCAUCAUCUCCCCCACCGCCUCCGCCAGUAACGCCUCCGCCACUGAAGCCGGUCUCAGCGGUCUCGGACGGCAGUGGCCAAGUGCUACUGCUGCUGUUGUUGUUGUUGUUGGUGGUGGUGGUGGUGGCUGCCACCGCCGUCGUUGCAACAGCCGCUGCACCGACGGCAGUAGCACCUACCGCCGCCGUCUCAACAGGAGGUGGCGCGGGUGAGGAGGACUGGAGCGCCUUCUUCGGUCUGCCGCGAGGCCGUUUCGGAGCAGGAUGUGCCGCGCAAAAAGGAAACUCCUCCGCCAACGCCGCCGUACCGCCGGCGGCAGCGUCCGUGACCUCGUCGUCCUUCUCCUUUCCCCUCUUCUUCUUCUUCUUUAGGGGGACCUGCGUCACCGCCGUCGUGUUCCGGUGUUGCUCUAGGAAGCUCUCUGCCUCCCUCCGUGUAUUGAAUCUCCUGACAUACAGACAUACAGACAUACCCGGCAAAGGUGCCAGGUGGCCGGGAUGGGGGUGGGGAUGGGGAUGGAAGGAAACUUUUGUCUGGACGCGGGUUUACCCACCAUCGUAAUCUUCGAGUCAGCAGCCAUCCGUAAAGGGACAAGACGGGCAUGACAGAACAGAGACAAAAGCCACAAAGGACAGCUGCUGACGAUUUGGAAGAGGGAUGGCCCCAGCUACAUGUGUAUGUACGUAUGUAUGUAUGUACGUAUGUAUGUUGUUACAGGGUGGUUAACUUCGCCAGCGGCCCCUUUCCCGGGCAGUCCCUGCUCUCCCCUGCUAGAGGGGCACCCUAAUCCGUCACCCCAUCCGACUUCGGAAUGUAUUCGUUGGGUUCGGCAACUCACCACCAGCAUCCAACCAAAUCUAGCGGAUCAACGGCGCAUCAACUUAGUUCCUGGUCAGCUCGCAAGUUGAUUAUAUCACGUCCUACAUCGUCCAUAUGAUGGGGAGCCACCUCCCAUUUCAACACUCCUCAAACACCCGAGGAGCCGGCAGGCGGAUAUGAACCCGGGUCGGCCGGGAGCAGAAGUCAGGCCAUAACCUCUGCCAGCCGCCUGCCAAUCGUACGUAUAUAUGUACAUAUAUAUAUAUGUAUGUAUGUAUGUUGUAUGCAUGUACGUACGUAUGUACGCAUGUAUGUGCGGCGGGGUAGGGUACGGGAAGGAGGGCGGAGACGGCGGACCUACUUGAAGGCGGCUCCCGAAGCGCCCCUGACUGCGGCCUGUGCCUCAGCCCAGCUCUGAUAGAUCCCCGA
This 48747-nucleotide long non-coding RNA is filed under the name Volvox carteri. Its description in RNAcentral is "long non-coding RNA (VCAR_LNC000437)". The record is from RNAcentral. Lineage: Eukaryota; Viridiplantae; Chlorophyta; Chlorophyceae; Chlamydomonadales; Volvocaceae.